Molecule: long non-coding RNA, 68674 nt
Filed under: Gossypium barbadense (sea-island cotton)
Lineage: Eukaryota; Viridiplantae; Streptophyta; Magnoliopsida; Malvales; Malvaceae
Description: long non-coding RNA (GBAR_LNC019641)
Rfam family: MIR7504 microRNA precursor family (bases 50-172)
Source: RNAcentral
AGAAAGGAUUGUAUGAGACUGUAAUUCCACGUCAUCCUUAUCCGUUUCCAACGAGAGAAUGACAAAUUAGAUUUUUCUUCUUGAUUUUUAGUAUUUUUAGUUGGAUUUAAAUUUUCUCAGGAGAAAAAGGUUGAAAAUCAAGAGUAAAAAUCUGAUUUGUCAUUCUCUAAUUAGAAAGGGAUAAGGAUGACGUGAAACCACAAUUUCAUAUCAUCUCUUUUCUAGAUUAAUAAUAUUGUAGAAGUGAAGGAUUAAGCUCAAGUUGAGGAAUAAUUAUCGGAUGCCGAACUUCCCAAGAUGGUCUAAGUUGAAAUAAUUUACUGUGAGUGGACUUUGGUAAAAAAAAAUAUGGUUUGUACAGCUAUGAUUAAGCCCCUGUGAACUAAAAUUUAUUCCUUAGAGCUUUCAAACUUUUUAACUGUUGAACUAAUGCUGACAGGGACAUAAAUGGAACUUUAUGGUCCUCAUACAUGAUUCUCCUCUUCUUCUUCUUCUUUUUCUCCCUUUUUUUUAACCUUAUUAUCUCUCAAAGAGACUAUUUUUUUAUUCUUCCUCAUAGAAAACCUCUUCAUCUCAUUCAUCUCCUCUUUUCUUUUGUGAUUUUUAAGCAAAACCCAGAAAUGGCAACAAGCAAAGCUGAAGGGAAAAGGAGACUGAAGGAAAUGGCGGAGGAGGAAGAAGAAGAAGAAGAGGACGAGGAUAAUAGUACUACUGGUGACGAUGACAAGAAGAAAAAAGGCAAAAGAGGGUCCAGUACGGUGGUCGGAGGCUCCUGUCUUCCCGCCUGUCAGGUCGAGAACUGCACUGCCGACAUGACCGAUGCCAAACGGUACCAUCGGCGACAUAAGGUGUGUGAGUUCCAUGCCAAGGCUCCUGUGGUUCGAGUUGCUGGGAUCCAUCAACGCUUUUGUCAACAAUGUAGCAGGUUUCAAACAAAACCCUAAUUCUUUAACCGCUGUUAUAGACUUUUAACGGUUUAACCUAACAAUUUCAUCACUUUAACUGUGAUUAUGUCUGCUUUUAAUUUCUAUUUCUAACCAAACAUUUUAGUUCUAUUUUUAUAUCUUGAUGUCUGAAUCCAUGAUUUUUUGCAAUUUUUCUUAUCUUAAUUACAUGUCUCCUUCAUUUCACUUAUAAAUCAUUGAUCUAAAUUUGUGAUUAUUUAUAGAUAUUCAUGAAUUAUUAGACUUCUUAAAAGCAUAUAGGCAAUAAUACCUCACAAUCAAUCCUAUCAAAUUCUCAUUUAUGCAUUUUUUUUUUAAAAUUUAAACAAAGUUUUUUCAAAUUAAAAGUUAGGAAAAUCCUUUUAAAAAUAAAUAAAUUUUGUAUUAUAUAUAUGGUGAAAGCUACAGUAUCAUUGACAAAGGUUGUACAAAAGAAGCCCACUUUUAUUUUCAUAAUAUAUAUAUACAUUAACAGCAGUAUACCCUUAGACUAGAUAGAUUCAAUAAGCAUUGAUAUUAUCAUUAUUUAUUAUAUAAAAUAAUUUAUUUUCUAGGAAAUUACAUUUCAUUUUCUUUUAAAGAGGUUCAUUCUCAUAUAUAGCAUUCAAACUGGUGAUGCUAAUGCAGGUUCCAUGAGUUAUCAGAGUUUGAUGAAACAAAAAGGAGCUGUCGACGGCGUUUGGCCGGACACAACGAGCGCCGUCGGAAAAGUUCAUCGGAAUAUCAUGGAGAAGGCUCAAAUUAUUAAAACUAGCUAAGAAGGCAAGCCUAUAUAUAUAUAUGCAAAAAAGAGUCAAUUCAGUCUUGAAUUUAAUAUGAUCCUAUGUAUGGGAAUGGACUUUCCCAAAUGAUCAUGUAACUAUAUGGAAUUUACUAAUUUAACCAUGCUCUCUCUCUUCUGUCAAUCUUAAUUUUACCCCUAUAAUAAUGUCACCCUUUUUCAUGCUUGCUCUACUAUUAUAUCCUUUAUGUAUGUAAUGCCUUCAUAUAUGCUUCUUAAUUUGUGGGUUUCUUUUGGUUGGUUUAAUGUUUCUAUUGUAUGCUUUUGUUUCCUUACAUGCAUUGUGUGAUUCAUAUUCUUUUUCAUGAAAAAAACAAUAACAUUUAGGGCUAAUUUUUUAUCGCGGUGAUAUAUUAUUUAGUAUUUGAGUUUAGUUUUAAUAUUCAAUUUGGUACCUGAAAUUUUGCUAUCCCAAUUUGGUGCUGAAGUUUGGUUUCAAUGCUCACUUCAGUGCCAGAGUUUUCUUUUUUUGGUCUUAGAUAAGAAUAUGAAUGUGGCUUCGAUGCUCAAUUUGUAUCUUAAAUAUCUAUGUUGUUUAUUUUACUAGAGCACACGUGUCAAAUAUUUUUUGGACCAAAUGAUGCCAUUUGAUCUGAGUAUCAAAUUGAGCAUAAAAACCAAAUUCAAGAACCAAAUUAGAACAAAAACAAACCCAAAUAUCAAAUUGAGUACUGAUACCAAACUCAGAUUGCUAAAUAAUAUAUUAACCCAUUUUUAUUCAGAUUGUCAACAAGUGAAUAUAAAAAAAAAAGAGGCUAAAAAUGCCUCAAAAGACUUUCUUUCUUUGUUUGAGAUCUUCUAAUAAUUACAUUGAGCUCCGAUUAAACUUAAAAUCGAACUGGAUCAAACCUAAACAAGAAGUAAACUUUCUUCAUUAUUAAUUUUUUCUUACACGAAAUCAGAAUCUAAAACUUUACUUAAAACAAUUCAUCCUUAAACAGGAAAAAGAGAAAACAACCAAAUUAAUUUCCGACAGGGAAGGGGUGCCUUUUUAUGUGUCAUAAUCAAAAGUCGCAUUAAAUUUUUUUCACAUGAACAACAUGUACUCUAGCUUGCGCCGUUGGUGAGAGGUAACUGCUGUUUUUUCAUAUGUCAAAUAGAGAAACAGUUAAAAAAAGAGGAGUUGACAGUUGGAAUUUUCUAACAUGUUAGUGUCUUAAAAACCACCUAAACAAGCUUCUUUUUUUUUUUUUUUUGAAAUUAUGGGUCUCUCUCAUAAAUCUUCAACUUUUAUCUCGAAUCUAUCAUGGAGAAUAAUGAGAGCAUAAAACAGUAGCAUUACGUACCGACCAUCGUUUUCCUUUUGCUUUGCCCAUUGGAAUAUCGAAGGCUGUUUAAUACUACAGCGAAAGCGUUUGUUGUUUUGUUCUUGUUGCUUUGCAUCAUAUACCAAAUUUGAACGGUUGGUCGACAGAAUUGUGUUCAAUAUCGUCCUUUGGUUACAGUCCCUUUUUGAUUCUGAGUCGAGUUAUAAAUUGGAAGAGGAGAAAUUACGAUUUGAAUUCCGGUAAUUUUUAAAAUAUUUUAAUUAAAUUAUCAAAAUAUCAAUAUUAUAUUAAUCAGCGGCUUAGAUAUUAAAUGUUAGUUGAAAUCAGAUUCAGCAGCUUUUGAUGAAGGUUGGGAAUUAGCUUCUACGGCAUGUGCCUAGAGAUAGCGAUAAGAACACAGGUUGCAUAGUUAAAAUGACUUUUGAUGGAGAAUAUAGCUUGAUUUAUAUGAAAAAACCUCUAGUGUAAUUAGCUUAUUUUUAUUCACCAAAAAUUUAAACAUAUACAUUCAUUGCAUGGACAAGUUUAGGUAGAAAACAAUAGAUUUAAGUUAUCUAUAUGGUAGGUGUCAUAGGUUGCGCAUUCUAAUCUCAGGACAGUAGGUAUAAACACACUUAAGAUUUGAUCAAUGUAUUUUAAUUAUACUCCUCAUCAUGUCUGAAUUAGAGUUUAAUGUCCAACCUGACAAUUAGGCUAAUAGAAAAUUGAGUGAUACGAUAUAAAAAUUUUGAAAACUCAUUUACAAUAUUUUUAUGAUCAAUUUAAGAUUUAAAUAUAGUUUGUUAACAUCUUGUGCAAUUAACCCUAGCUUCAAUAAUACUAACAAGAACCGAGAAAAUUGAUAAACACCGAUUAGGUUGCUUCAUAUAAUUAAAAUUGCCACUAGACCAGAUGGAUGGUACAAUACCCACCCAUUAAAACAUAUAGUAUUUGCUUACACAAAUUAUUUUUCGACUGUGACAGAUACCCUUCGUCAAAUCUCUGAAUAAUCUUAACAAAUAUCAUUCUAUCUAAAAUUAGGUCGUCAAGUUUAAUUUUUUCGAUAAGAUUAUCAUGACUCACUAUUAAUAAAUAUUACUAUCUUAUCACAUCAAGUCACAUAAUUAAUAAUUCAUUAAUCAAAAGGACUCGCGAUAGCUUAUGAAUGUCUCCCUUAAAUACAUCAUCAAAAAUUCCAUGACAAGGGACACGAAUGAGAUCAUCAACUCUCUACAAUCUCCUCGUCAGUUAUGACUCUCGAUCCACCAAGUGAACUGCCUCGACCCUUCAACUUCCAAUUAUAUCUUUGUAUGAAUUCAACACCCAGAGAUUAUUAGGAUUUCCAGGGUUUUAUGAUGAAAACAUAAUAAACAUUAGAAGCAUCCUGUGAUUAUUGAUAUAAUUGCAGCUGCAUUAUAAGCAUGAAAGGCUGUAGCCACGUGUCAUGCGUUUAGAGUGUGGCCCGUGGUUCCCAAUCCCACUCAUGUCUCUCGGUUGAUAAUGCAUGUGUUCCAAAAUCUGAUGAAUUGACUAAAGUUUAUUUUGAUUUUCUAUUUUGGAAAAUAAAGUUGGAGCAAAUAAGCCCAAGGUUCCUUUUCUUUCAUAGAUGAAUCGAGUAUGUGGACUAUAAGGAUUUGGAUAUCGAAUAUGAAGAUUUAAUAUAUUAUCAUUUCUUUUUGUCGGUUAAGUCUUAAUUCGAUUGAUAUAGGCAUUGUUAUCAAUGCAGGAGGAUGUGAGUUCAAAUGUAUUGAAACGCAUUAUCCUUUUAUUUAUGGGUUAAGGAGGAACCAUGAAUAGUUCUAGGUAUUGUGUCGAAAAAAGAACAAAUAUGAUCAGAACCUGUAAAUUUAAAAAGAUCAAUAUGAUAUACAAAGAGUAAAUAUAUUUGUUCAAAUCUAUAAUGAGUAUUUUAAAAAAUAUCAAUAUGAUAUAUGAAGAGUAAAUAUAUAUAUAUAUAGCUCAUAAACUCAGCAAAAACUUAAAAGUGAAAGUGGAAGAUUACAAGUUACAAUUAAGGGAUAAAUAACAAUGGAAUUACAUUUUCUUUUAAUUUGUAAUGCACAAAAACAAAAUUACAAACAAAAUAUAAAUAUAAAAAAUACAAAUUUAGUUUUGGGGUUUAAAUUUAAUUUAUUUGAUGUAUAAAUGCAUGCAAAUAUAUGUUCAACAUAUUUUUAUAAUUAUUUUCUUUAUUGAAAAUUUUUAUAAUUGUCUUCAUUUACAUACAACGAUGAUUAAAGCUUUAUUAUCGUAUGACAUGAGGUCAAAUCUUAUCAUUUUAAUAUUGUAUAAAAAAACAUAUUUUUUGUAUUUUUCGGAUCAAAAUACAUUAUAUCAUUCUAAAAUUAAUUUUAAAAUAUUUAAAAUUAAAAUCUUAAUAAUAGCGAAAGAAAAUCAACCUUUAAUUUUAUUUAAGAGAUAAAUCUCAAAAACUAUACACAAGGGACAUAGCUAGAGGGGCAAGUAGUGGCCUUGGUCCCCCUAACUAAGGGUUAUAAUUUCUCUUUUAGUCCCUUUUAGUUAUAAAGUAUUCAAUUUAAGUCAUUUUUGAACAAAAUUUUUAACUUUGACCCCCAAAGUUCUAAAAUUUUGUCCCCCAAUAAUGAAUUGCUGGCUUUGCCCUAGUACAUGAAUUUUGAUUUUAAUUCAAGUGUAUAUAUUUAAAGAAAUAAAUACAUCACUUUAUUUUUAUACUAGAUAAAUAAAAUUAUUUUCAUAUAUAAUAUGUAAAUAUAAAAUAAUGUUUUAUCGAUAAUUAUGUUAAUAAUUUAUAAAAAAUUAAAUCAAAUCAAAAUUUUAAAUAUAAAAUUAUAAUUCAUGUAUAACAUUAUAUUUAACCUAAAUUCAUAUAUGAAUUUUAUUCCUUUAUUUAAUAAUUGAUGCAUAUUUAGGACCAAUUUAAUCUCAAUAAGAUUUCAAUUGUGUCUUCCAAUCCAAAAUGAUUGGGCCACUGAAGAGAAAGAAGCGUACAAGGUCUGCUGGAUGAAAUUUUUGUAUGUUCCUUUGACCCAACCUUCAAUAUAUAUAUUAAUGGGAACACUUAAAAUUUGCAUUUCUUUAUUACUGAGUCUAACCAUUUAAACCCCUUGCAAAUAGUGAAUUGAUGAGGGAGUGGCUUUUUCUCUCGAUUUUGAGAAUAAUCUAAAGGAAUUCACGGAAUUUAGGGGCUUUUCUUAGAAUUGAGAGAUAAAAAUCCGAACAUAAACACUUCAAGAACAAUACCUCUAUUGAGGGUCUGAAACUAACUUAGAGAGCGACCUCUCCAUGAAUAAACAAAAAUUUGUCUCAGCCAGCCUGCAAGCUCAUGCAAAUGAGUGCAAAGAAUUGUUUCCAUAUCAAAUAACAUCAAAACAGAAGCAUUUAGAAUUCGUUAUCAUAAUAAAUAAAAAAAUAAAAUGGGCAUAUUUGUUUCAUUAUUUUACUUCCCCCUGUUUCAUUGGUAAAUCCACCAAACAAAUAAACCAAAACAAAGGCAUUGGUCCAAAAUAUCCCAAAGGAACCUUAUGUUAUAUAACCUUCGGGACUAAGAACCCAAAUCAACAACAAAAUCAAUGGGAACCCACAAGCAAAACAGGAUCUCCAUGGAUGUUGCAGCUGAUAAUACUUCACUUGAUUCACUCUCAUUUGCUGGCCUCGUAUGCAUUCAAGAUCAACAAUCCAAGCCUCCUCCCCAUACAGCCUAUCACAGCAAUAAAGAUGACCAAGAGUUCGAGUUCAUUUCCGGUACGAAUCCUCUCGGCAGUAGCAAAGUGUCGAUUGAAAACCAUGCCACCGAUCACGAAAGAUCAGUUUCUCGUGAACCGAAUCAAGGUAAAAAGGAGCAGAGUGCGUCUAGGUCAUGGUUUGGGCAGAAAUUGCUUCUAUCAUUCGUUUCCCCAUGCAGGGAAUGUCAUGCUGUGAGGCCGACUACGAAACCACAUACAGGGCCACAAGAAAGUAGCAUCAAGUUACUUUAACUUCGAGCCUACUGUUUCUUUUCUGUUUGGUCCUUUCAGAAUUGAAUCAAUUUAGAGUUAGUGUAGUUGAAUAAAAGUUACAUAGAGAGACCUUAUAUACUACAUCACUGUUGAUUCACUGUUUGGGUUAAAUUCAGCAAUAUAACGGCAGUUGGUUUUUAGCACCAUUAUAUAAUUAUCACUGCUCAUUUAUAUAUGAUUCAUCAUCAGCCAUGAAUGGUGAUUAAACUUGUGCUAAUGGGGUGAAGCUUGACCAAUAGAUAUUAGAUAGUAGAUACUCUGAAUUUUUCAACUUCAACAAUAGUUAACCUCAAGAAUGACAACGGUUCAGUUGAAAUCAGUUUUGAAAUAAUUCAGUGAGAAAACCUAGAGGUGAUUAAAGUUUUGUCCAUGAAAAAGUCGACAGACUCAGGUGUUAUCUUGCUCAGAAGGAUUCAACGAAUUUUGAAUUUUGAAGGAUAGUGAGCGAUCAGAUACAUACCCAAAAAUUGCAAUUUAAUUGUGGAUCAACUGGUAAAGAUUAACCUUACAUGGCAGGCAAGCUUAUAGAUUUUUGAAUUGUCUCCUAAGACUGUGUCUAUGGCUCUUCAACAAGACAAAGCAUUUAGCAUUUUUUAGCAUUUGAUUUGAUGCAACUUUGUUUUAAUUUUCACCAAAAAAAAAACUCAAAAUAGCAAAUCAAAUAUAAAAGAUAUUGAUGAAAAAAAUAUGAGUCAAUAAUUAAUAACGAUUCACCUGAAGACUAAGAGAUAGAAAUAAUCUUUUAAGAGAUGAGAGAGAAGAGCUCUCAUGAUUUCUCUAAUAUCGAGAGAAAGAAUAAGGAAACUUUUAAGUCAUAACUCAUAAAGGGAAAAUUUAUAUAACCCACAAGUUUCAUGUGACAAAUAUGAGGUAUAUAAGGUUAUGUAUAGAUGGUGUAUAGUCCACGUGUUUGUAGUCAUUCAACACUUUGAUGAUCAUAUUUGAAGUUUAACAAAUAAAAUAACAACAAACAAAAAUGAAUUUAAUUUAUUCAAAUAAGUUGGAUUAAAUAAUUUUUAUAUAAUUUUUUUUCAAUAAUUCAAAUAUAAAAUUGACUAUAAAUUAAAUAAAAACAUAAUUGACUCCAUGUGAAUAAAAUUUUAACAUAAAUAAAAUCAAAAUCAAAUUGAUAUUUUGCCUCUCAACCCUAGCCAGCCUUGCUUUGCAGCAAUGGUCUUGGGCUAAUUUCUUUUAAGAAAAGCCGACUUUGUGAAUGUUAAAAAUAUGAUCCUUAUCUCUUGCGGUAUAAAGAAUCUAAUUCAUAUAAAGAAGGUUAAAAUAUGCUUUUGGUUCCUGUAUUUUUUUAUAUAUUUAUAAUUUAGUCCACUAUUUUUAUUUUAGAAGAUUUAAUUUUUUUUAAAAAUCUAAGUCCAAUUAUAAGUAUUAUUAAAAUUCUUUUAUUAGAAUCAAGUUUUUUACAACAUCAUUUUUUUAUUACACGAUUACCAAAAAUGAGUUAUUUUCUAAUUUUAAAAUGUCAUAAUAACAAAUUUAAUCGAAGAAUUUUAAUUAUAUUAACAAUUGAAUCCUAAAAUUCAAAUUAUUAUAAAAAAUAGUUGAUAAUACGAUUAUUAGUAAUAAUAAUAAUAAAAUAUACAUCAUAUACAAUUUUAUCUAAUUAGUCUAGUGCAUAUGUGUUAGAUUAUUCUCUCUUUAAUAUUUAACACUUGCUCUUUAUUAUCAUAUGUUGGUUAUUGACCGAGUUCAUCAUCUGAAUUUGAAUCUGCAUCAUCAAAAUUAUCAAUAUCUCAUUCUUCCAUGUACUUUUCGAAGUAUGAAUCAUCUCAAUUCCAUAUAUGAUUUAAGUUAUGAAAUAUGCAACAUGUCAGUACGAUCCAACGUUGUUCAUUUUUUUGUUAUACUGAGGUGAUGUUGUUAAUAUAAAAAAUAAUUUUUUUAGAAUAACAAAUCUCUUCUCAACCACAUUUUCGAAAUAUUAAAUGUUUCAAAUUAAAGAGUUAGCGAGUUGUCUAUGGUGAUUGUGUUUGACACCAUUCUCUCAAAUGGUAUCGUACCCCACGAUAUGGUGUAAGAAAACUUUUUGUAUUUAUAUCAUUAACAUCAACCUUAAAAUAUUUGGGUUUACGGUCCAAAGAGUCUUUAGCUUUAAUUAUAAAAACAUAUAUAAAUUUAAUUUGAAAAAAAGACUUAUGCUAGGUUAUAUUCCAUUUUUAUAAUACAUAAAUUAAAUAAAAAAUAAUAUCAAAAUUUUAAUAUAUAACAUUUAUAAAAAAAAUUAUAAAUUGUUCCAAUAACUUUCAUAAUACUUCUUAUUAAUAAUAUAAUUUUUUUUGCCAUAACUUUAUAAAACUAUUUUUUUAUAAAUAAGUUAUCAUAAAAAAAAACUAUAACAUUUUUAUAAUGUAUAGCAUGGACACAUAAAUAAAUUAUGUCCAUACUUCUUGUCCAUAAACUUUUAUAAAUAUAUUAUAACACUUUUAUAAUAUGUAAAUUAAUUUUUUAUAAUAAAUUUUUUAGUCAUAAAUUUAGAAUUUUUUAGAAUUUAAAUAAUAUAAAUUUUUUUGUUAUAUUUUUAUAAAAAAACAUAUUUUUUUAAUAAUAUAAUUUUUUAGGACUUGUAUAUAAGUAAUUAUUUGUCAUAAUCAUCCCAAACACUCAUUCAUAUUCAUGUUUAUAAUAUAAUUUUUAUAACAUGUGUAAAAAUAAUUUUUUGUAAUUGACUUUAAGUGUAAUUACCGAGAAAUUAUUUUAUAAACUAUUCCACCACAUCAUCUAUGGUCCCUUCCAAUAAUUCAAUGAUAUUUCAAUAAUUUUUUCCAUGUCAUUAGCACAUAAAUUUUGUAAUUUUUUACUCUGAACCCCGGACCAGAACCUUAAACCCCGAACCCAGAUUCUUAAACCCUAAAUAAUCAGCCUGAACCUUGAAUCCUAAACCUCAAACUCUUAACCUCGAACCCUAAACCAGAACUUGAACUCCAAACCCGAACUCGAGCCCGGAGUUUCAAGUUCGGGGUUCAGUGUAAAAAAUUACUAAAAUUAUGUGUCAAUAACAUGAAAAAAUUUGUUGAAAUGUCAUUAAAAAUUGGAAAUGAACUAUAUAGAUGAUGUGGUGGGAAGGGUCAUAUAAUAAUUUCUCGUAAUUACCUGUAUUAUUACUUCAAUUCUCACUCUUCCCUAAAAAUUAAAAAUAUAUAAUUACAGAUAAAUACACCGAAAUUUAAUUACCAAUUUACUUUUGAAACACGAUUUUAAUGUUAAAUCGUAAUUUAAUUACAACAUGCAGAUGCAACCCUGUCAUUGUUACGUCGACACAUGUGUUACAAAUUUACAAUACACCCCCCCCAACCUAUCUUUUCGAAAUACACAAAAUAAUUUAUUUUUAAAGUCAAUUAAAUAAAAAAUCCAUUAAAUUCCAUUCCAUCUAAAGAAAUAUCGGCCAUAGAUACGGAUCGUAUAUUUAUUUAUUUAUUUAUUUAUUAGAAAUUAUUUUAUCUUAGUAAUGUUUUGAGUUUUUCUUUUCUUUUCUUUCGGGAGGGAAUGUUUACUUCUUUUACUUAUAAUAAUAGUAUAAUACCUUAGACUAAAAAAAUAAGGAUUAAAUUGAUAAAAGAUAUAAAUAUUUAUAUUUAUCUAAAUUAGGGUUCAUGCUUAUUUAUUUACAUUUUAUUUUGUGAGAGUGUGACUCGCAUUUAUCGGAAAGUUUGCAUGCACUUAAGACAACAAUCAACGAACAGUCGAAGAAAGGCCAAAAUAAGCCCAACGUCGUAACGAGUAGGUAGGGCUUGUCGGGACAACACAAUGUAAACCCCAGGCAAAUGCGGCAUCGAUGUUGUGAUGAGGAGAGCUGGUAUGUCACGACGUCACAACGUAUUCUCCUAUUUGACAAUCGCGUUUUAGGCUUCAAGCAGGACUGCUUCUCCCAGUUUUAUUCUGAUUAUUCUAGAGAUAUUUUAGUAUAAUUAGAACUCUAAUGGCCAUUGUAUUAUUGUUUUCACAUGCCAAUUAGCAAAAGUUUUUCUUUUGGGAGCAACAAGAUGUAGUCGCAAAUAAGUUUUUGGUGAGAGAUUCGUGGUAACUAUGGAGAGAAUUUUGUUCCCGAGUUAGGGUUUUAUUUUCGGGGUUGGGUAAUCUACGUUUAGCACAUUUAGGUUUAUUUUCUCUAUAUUUUACUAUCGUUUGUUUACUCAUUUAAUAAAAAGUUGAAACCUCUUUUACCUGCAGUUUUUAUCCUCUUCAGAGGAGUCUUUCACGUAAAUAUCUAUGUGUUUGAUUUUUUUUUAUUUUACUCGUUUUUUUACUUAUACGAGUAGAUCCCAACAUAUUUCAAUCCAAUAAUUAUUAUAAUUAACUUUAACAAUUAAACAUCAUAAAUGCUAUGGUAGGUUAACUUUAACACACAUUGAAUUGCAUUAUUUCAACAUUAACUAAUUUCGUUGAAGAAGGGUCCUUUGGGUGAGAAAUUUAAAAGCUUGUCCAUUUUCCCAGCCAACAAAAUAUCGAUAAUAAUUGCUCUAUAUAUAUAAUUAAUCAAAAUAAUAUAUAAGGCUAGUCAAAAUAUUAGGUAGAGUUAGUAGUCAACGGCUACAUAAUUUUUAAGAAUUUAAUUUUGCUAUUAUAAACUUUUCAUACAUUGUUAAUAAGUAACAUCAUGCAAUUAUUUUAAUUUCAUUUUUAAAAUUGAAAAAAAAUAGGAGGGCCAAAGCUAAACAUUUUGUGUUAAAAUGACUUAAAUUGAUAGAUUAAUUUCUUCAAGGGGUCGAAAAAUAUAAAUUUCCCAAACAAUUAUACUAAUCAAUUAAGGGGCCAAGACCUUGGUCUAGAAGAUAGCGUUUGGCAUGGGAAUCAAAUUAAACAUUGAAAAAGGAGAUUAGAUACUAAAUUGAAAAAAACUUAAAAUACAAAAUUAAACAUUGAAAUUAAACCAGAUACAAAAUAGUAAAUUAACCAAAAGGAAAAAAGAAAUCAUAACUUGACCCCAUUUCUAAGUUGCUUUGUCGAUAAAGGCAUUACUGUGGCACAUAACACUCCGCGGAUUGCGCACCAAAUCGUGCCCAAUUGAAAGUCAAAAGUCAACAAAGCAACUCCUCUCUCUGACCAUCAUACCAUUACCCUCAACCGUCCGAUCAAAAAGUCAAACAAACAUCAUAAGGUCAUUUAAGUAAAUUCAACAAAAAUUUCGUUUCCUCCCUCCUUUUUCAGUUCUACUCGUCAGUAGUCACGUGCCUUUCAUCGACGAGUUUGUUUCACAUAUACAUAUAUCACGUGGCAUUAUAGUAAAUCAACUAAAAACUUCCCCUUUCUUUUUCUUUUUCACAUCACCAGUCCACCACCAGGCCCCGCCACUAAAUCUCCACCGCCCCACCAUUUCGUAACCCACUUCCAUCACCGUCUGAUUAGACGGGUCCAUUAACAUUGAUGAAACUCACCUGUCGCUGAUUAUCUCCAACUCUAUUUGGUCAACUUAAUGAAGAAAAUUUUUAAAUUCUCAACAGGUUUUGCUGCAAUCACGUCCCCAGCAUAAACACACACAUACGCUCUUUCUCUCUAAAAAAGCAAUAAAUAAUAAUAAUAAAAGAUAAAAAAGAGAAUGUGAGAAAAUGAUGAGACCAUUGCCAAAAAAGAGAGAGAGAGAGCAAAAGAAACCACAGAGGAAGUGAAUCGAAGGCUUAAACUUAAGCUUAAAAGAUGCUGAGAUUUACUCUAUUAUGGCUUCUCGUUUUCUUUUUAUCUCUCGUUUCAUCUUCAGCUCGGCCCGGUUAGCUUCUGUUACUGCAUUUUUUUUAAAAUAACAUGUUUAAUUUUGUUAUCUGUGUUAUUUUUAGUUCAUUAGAGGUUCGGUUGGAUAUGUUUGAUGUGUGAAUUACAUUUGUUUUUAUUAAGCUUCUUGUAAACGAGUCUUGAUUUUUUAUAAUUCAGUUUACGAUUCGUUUUUUCUCUUCGGUGAUUUGGUAGAUUGGCUGGUUUUUGGAAUGUGAAUUUAGAGUUUUGUGUUGAUUUUUAGUGAGUUGUGAGAAUUACAUUUAUUUUGAUUAAGCUUCUUAUAAACGAGGCUUGUUUUUUUAUAAUUCAGUUUACGAUUCGUUUUUUCGCUUUGGUGAUUUGGUAGAUUGGCUGGUUUUUGGAAUGUGAAUUUAGUGUUUUGUGUUGAUUUUCAGUGAGUUGUGAGAAUUAAAUUUAUUUUUUUUAAGCUUCUUAUAAACGAGUCUUGUUUUUUUAUAAUUCAGCUUAGGAUUCAAUUUUUUGCUUUGGUUUGUUUGGUCGAUUGGCUGUUUUUUUAAACGUGAAUUGAGUGUUUCGUGUUGUUGUUCAGUGAGUUGUGAGAUUGAGUCAAAAGGAACGGUAUCGGGGGAUAUGAAUGUGUUUUUUGUGGAAUUAACAGUGUCUGGAUCGAAAAUGUAGGAAAAAUAAUCGAAAGCAAAAUCAUUAAUGUACAUUAAAAAAAAAGAAGAAAAAAUUGCUGUGAAAAGAAAACAAUUCUGCCAUGGCCAGACAGAGGAACAACAUGAAUAUUUUAUGGUUUUCUUGUGGAUACAGUUGUCCGUACCAUGCCACAGGAAUUUCUUCACCGAUUACAUAUUACUAUGUUGGUGAAAUAGAAUUCUAUGUCAAAUCUUUCUAUGGACUUGUGAAAUAAGAAAUCAAAAGAAAAUUAUAAGCAUUACCAUUUCUUGCAACAGUGAGUUGUAGCUUAGAGUUUGUGGAUAAAAGUGUAUUCACUUUUCAUAUUUUAUCUAAUACAUUCUUCUUAUAUGGUUAGUUCUUGGCACUAAAUGGCCAUGUUUUCUUGCUGCAGCACCUUUUGCUAUGCGCAUAAGCUGUGGGGCUCGUCAAAAUGUCCGAACAGCACCAACAUAUGCACUUUGGUAUAAAGAUUUUGGGUAUACAGGUGGAAUUCCAGCUAAUGCAACAACUCCAAGUUUCAUUACUCCUCCGCUAAAAACACUCCGAUAUUUCCCUCUAUCUGAAGGUCCGGAAAAUUGCUACGGGAUUAAUAGAGUACCGAAGGGACACUAUACUCUGAGGAUCUUCUUUGGAUUAAUUAAACAGCCUGAUUUUGACAAUGAACCUCUAUUUGAGAUAUCUGUUGAAGGCACCUUGAUUCAUUCACUGAAGUCAGGCUGGACUAGCCAUGAUGACCAGGUGUUUGCUGAAGCCCUUGUGUUUCUUUUAGAUGGCACAGUAUCUAUUUGUUUCCAUAGCACUGGUCAUGGAGAUCCAGCAAUUAUUUCUAUUGAAAUUCUUCAAGUUGAUGAUAAAGCAUACUAUUCUGGUCCAGAGUGGGGGAAAGGUGUUAUCCUGAAAACAACUUCAAGACUGACUUGUGGCACAUCAAAACCAAGAUUUGAUGAGGAUUAUAGUGGGGAUCAUUGGGGUGGAGAUAGAUAUUGGGAACCCAUCAGAACUUUUGGCCAAAAUGCUGCCGAGCCGAGAUCUACUGAAAAUAGCAUUAAACAAGCUUCAGAUGCACCAAACUUCUAUCCAGAAGCCCUUUAUCAAAGUGCAGUUGUUAGUACUGAUAGCCAGCCAGAUCUAGCUUAUACAAUAGAUGUGGAUCCCAAUAAGAACUACUCCAUAUGGUUACACUUUGCAGAGAUUGAUGCUUUAGUCACAGAUGCUGGGCAAAGGGUGUUUGAUGUUCUGCUUAAUGGUGACACUAUAUUUAAAGAGAUAGAUAUUUUGAAGCUGAGUGGUGACCGGUAUACUGCACUAGUGCUUAAUACAACUGUUGCUGUUAGUGGUAGGACACUGACAAUAACCCUUCACCCUAAAGAAGGCCACCGUGCUAUCAUUAAUGCCAUUGAAAUCUUUCAAGUAAUAGCUGCUGAGUCCAAAACUUCAUCAGCAGAAGGUAAUGCUUUCUUCUAUUAUUUCUGCAGACUGUUUAUGCUGAUGUGUGUGAUUGGUCAUUGGAAAUUGUUUUUUACUGCAAAUGACCAAGGUUCUUCAUGAAAGGUGGUAGAUAUUUACUAACUUGUUGAUAAUUCCUGAUUCUAGUUAGGGCCUUACAGGCAUUGAAGAGAUCACUGGGGCUUCCAAAUCGUUUUGCGUGGAAUGGAGACCCAUGUGUUCCCAAGGAGCAUCCAUGGAGUGGAGCUGAUUGUCAAUUUGAUAAAUCUGGCAGCAAGUGGUUCAUUGAUGGCCUGUACGCUCUUGAGCAUUUUCCUAAUCAUUGAGCUUUAUUAUUUAUUUCUGCUGAGAAUAUCUCUUCUUUUCAGUAUGCUUCUGUUGAUGUCUAUGCUAUGGCCUAUCCAUUGUUCUUGAUAGCUAAAGCUAUUCUUGAACUGUUUUCAGCAUUUGAGUUUGUUUGUGUCAUGUUAAAAAAAUAUGAGAACAUGUGCAUAUGCGAGGAAAUUAUAUUAUCAUGUGAGAAGAAAUUAUAAGUCAAAGCUGCUUCCAUUGAUCUCUUCUCUUCUAUUUGGUUUUACCUAACCCAUUCGGCCCUAAUAUCUGCACUUCAUUCGUUCCUACAUCAUCUCUGCUCUCUGAUUUUCUGAAUGCAGAGGAAGCAUCAAUGAUCAUAUACGCAAAUUAGUUUUUGGAGGGGAAGCAUCAAUUACAUAUAGCAAGUGUUUCCUAGAAUAUAUAUGUAUCCAUUUUAUGAGCCUAAAAUAUAACUGUUUUAAACUUAUAUUUGCAACUUUAUCAUUUAAAGCUUAAUAUACGUUGCCUUCACCAGUUAUAUGGGUUUACCAUAAGUAAUUGUCUUUUAAUUUAUGCAUGACAGUGAUCUUGCCAACCAAGGUCUUAAGGGGUUCUUGCCUGAUGACAUAUCCAAACUAAUUCAUCUACAGAGCUUGUAAGUACAGAUAGUUCUUUUCUAAGUUUCACUGACAGAAAAAUUAUUUUCCCUUGCUUGCUUUCUCGAACUAUCUAAAUGUUUUCGCAUAUUCUUAAUUUUACAAUAAAUGAACCUCCUCUUCAAAUAUGCCUAAUAUCCAUUUCUCUUGUUUAUGUUGAGCUUGGCCUUGAUAGAAACUUGAGUGGAAACACAAUUCACGGGGUCAUUCCACCAUCACUUGGAACCAUAACCAGCUUAGAAUUGCUGUAAGUGUAUCAUGAUUUCUUUUCCUUAUUGAAUAUUCCUUUGAUUGUAAUGAUUUGUGUAUUUUCUGCAUGAACAUGCGAUGUUGGGUUUGAUAUAACCAUCAUAACUAAUGUUUUCUUGAUCAGUAGCACAUCCUUGGAGUUGUUUGUUGCAUUCUUCUUUCAAUAACAAUCACACUUGAAAGGACACUAAACUCUUGAUGCUAGAUAUUGGCAUUCUUUUCUUGAAGGAAACUUUGAGUUUAGAGUCUGAUGUCUAGCUAAGAGAAGCACAUGACUAUUUCACUUUAGAACACAUUUCGCUAGGCUCUAUCAAUGUUAUUCAUAUGAUGUCUGGAUACAAAUUGCAGGGACCUCUCCUACAAUUUCCUCAAUGGAUCAAUUCCUGAAAGCCUAGGGAACUUGACCGCAUUGCGCAGAUUGUAAGAAUUCAUUUGCUUGACCCGGAAUCUGAACAUACGACUGAAGAACCUGAUUGAAAUUGUGAUUGUGCAGGAAUCUUAAUGGCAACUCUUUGUCUGGAAGAGUCCCAGGUGCACUUGGAGGAAGGCUUUUGAAUGGAGCUAGCUUCAAGUAUGUUCUCCCAGAAUUUCGUUAGUAUUUGCCUGAAAUGUUCUUUAUGAGUAUCAAAACUGCCACAUAAUGAUCAUAAGUAAACAAAUUCUUAUACAAGACAAACAAGCACAUGCACUUGCACAUGCUUACUCUAGUUGCUUGCAGUUUUACUGACAAUGCUGGUCUCUGCGGCAUACCCGGAUUACCUACAUGUGGACCCCACCUCUCUGCCGGUGCAAAGGUUGGCAUUGCCUUCGGUGUAUCCCUAUCAUUUUUACUUCUUGUUAUCUGUUCAGUUUGUUAUUGGAAAAGACGGCAGAACAUUCUUCGAGCACAGCAGAUAGCAGGUUAGUACCUUCAUGAUUUAACAACUUAAAAAAUUUAUUUGGUGCUUUUUUCUCUCUUUUCUCUGCAUUGCAUAUUCAUAUUUCAUUGGCUUGUGCAGCAAGAGGUGCUCCAUAUGCAAAAGCAAGAACCCAAUUCUCGCACGAUAUCCAAAUGUCAAGGCACCAUAAUCAUGGCCAUACUCGGACAGCUGCUGAGAAUGGACCAAGCUUGCUAUCGUGAUUAAAAUCAUAGUAAUAAUCCCAACUCUUCUUGUUUGGUUCUGCUAGCACCACAAUCAUUUCUUUAGCUCAUGAUGCUUCUGCCUAAAUCUUCUUUAUUUUGUAAAACUCUCUCCUUAAAAGGCCCCUAUAGAAUCACUUCGAAAAGGUCAGAUACCCCAACAGUCACAAAAAAAAUGCAGCAAAACUGAAGUACAUUAUCUUCUGUGAUGUGUGAAUUUUGGAAGGAAAAUCAUUGUCUACUCGCUCGGGUCGUGGCAAAGUGGGAAAACGGCGAACACCUAAUUCUCAUGUAAGCUUUGUUUUAGUCAGUUUAAAUUCAUUCUAAUUGUUUCUUAGAUAUUUGUUUAGAUUUUCACUUUAGCAAAAUAGCAUAUGUUUAUGUCAAAUAGUCUUGUUUAUAGAUCAAUAUACAAAUAAUAAUAUACAAUUAUAAUUUAAGGUCUUAUUUAUCCUAUAUUUUUUAUGAAAUUUUUCUGCAUCCGAUAAAAGUUUUCAUUAAAUUUGAAUUCAAGUAAUAUUGAAUUCUUAAACGCGAGACAAGUUUUCUAGUGCUGUUUUUUCGUUCAUAUGAUUCGAAUUCAAAAUUUUUAUCAUUCGUCUUGAUAGUAAAGGGUUUAUCUUUAUAGUCGUCUAUUAUUAGGGUAAAGAAAAUUUGAUUUAAUGAUUCCUAAUUAAAUUUGUUCAUGGAUUGAACCAUUCGCUCAAGUUUGAAAGCCUGUUCGAUUGUCUCGUUUAAAAUAUGGUUCGAGUUUGAGCUUGAACAUUUAAAGCUCAGUCUCACCUUGGCUUAUUUUUAUUGUUUGUAAUGUUUUUAUAUUAUAUUAUAUUUAUAUAUUAUAUAAUUUGUAACCUAUGAAAAUUAAAUCUAUAGUUGUAUUAUGACUAAAAAAUGUUAAUAUGACUAAAAUUUUAAUAAAUGAAAAAUAUAUAAAUUUAUUAAAUUUUAAAUUAAUAAUAAUAUAAAUAUAUAGUUUUUAAUUUUUUUAAAAUGAGUUAACUUAAAAUAAGAUUAAGUUUGUUAAUUACAAAUAUGGAUGAGUUUAAGUAAAAUUUUAGUUUCAUAUUUGAAGUAAAGUUAAUGGCAAGCAUAAUGUCUAAUCCAUGGAAAUUUCUAGUUUUAACCCAGCCCAAUUGAUAGAGUCAAGGUUUUUUUUUUUAAUCAAUUUUUCAAUUAGUUGAAUUGGGAUCAGGUAUAGAAAAAAUCUACCCUACUCUAAUAUUAGUUUAAAAUAAUGGAUAUAAAAAAGUGAUGUUACCAUAAAUAUAGCUAAAAAUAACUAAUUGUCUAAUUAAGAAGUAUUAUUAUUAUAUUUUGAUAAAAAAUUAAAAGUAUAAAGGUUGAUCUGUUUCUAUAGUCAUUAUAUUUGUAUUUCUAAGAAUUUAGUGCAUUUGCUUUUUAAAUUUUUAAAUUUUGGUUUACCUUUUUUUUUGUUAAAUUAUUGUCGUGACAUUUUAAAAUAUAAAAAAAUUAAUGUGAUAUUUACGAUCAAUAACAUGAUGACACAUGUAGCGUGUCAAAAUGUAAGGCUACCACGUAUUACAAUGAUACGUUAGCGUAUUUGAACGGUGUUAGUUAAGUGUUUAAAAAAAUAUUAAGUUGACUUAAAGUUUUCAAGUUCAAAUAUAAGAUAGAUCCAAAAUAAAUUCAAGUACUAAAUAAAUAGAAUUUACAAAGUUGAGGUAGUUUUGUAUAUAUUAAUUUUGAGGCAAGUAAUAAUUACGUAUGAAUAGUAAAUUCUAAUUUGUUUUAAUUAUGACGCCAAAUUCUGCAUUGAUUGACAUCAUGCUUCGGUCUAUGUAGGUUAGAGGUCUGACAUUGUGAUUUCCACGCAGCGAAUCCAUAUCCCUAAGUCCAAACAAAUAAGGUAUAUGAAUGUUUUUGUUAAUAAAUACAAAAACCGAUAUUUAUUAAAAUUAAUUAAUAUAUGAUUUAUAAUAAAUUAUAAUUAAAAACCGAACAUGAAUCUGAAAAAUAAUAAAAAAAUUUAUUUACUUGAUAAAUUAUUUUAAAUUUUAGAUAAGCCAUUAGUAAAUUGAAAAAAAUACUCUCUUCUUGAGAGGUGUUGAGGUUCGGUUCUAAAAAAAAGAUAAUGCUCAACUUCAUUUUCGACCCAACUUGAUCGAUUCAAUAAGUUCAUUUCACUAUUAAAAAGAGAAUAAAAUAUUAAAAUAUAUAUUUAUUUAUAUUUUAUAUAUUUCUAAAAUUAAAUUCAUAUUAUGAAUUUGUGAUUAUAUUUUUCAAAAAUACUAAUUUUUUUUAAACUUUUUAAAAUAUUUACAUAUUCGGUAAAUUCAUUAACCAUAAAAUUUAAAACUACUACAUAUCUAAAAUAAGGAUAGAACCCUCAGUGACUUCAUUCUUAUUUAAUAUUGAUGUAGUGUAAUAGCAAGACAAGAAUCAACAGCCCUAAAAACAUACAACAUAAAUAAAUAAAAUAAAAUAAUAAUAAUAAUAACAUCACGUGAGAAGGUGUCAGUAACCUGCAGUGAUUUUCACCCCCCCUACCCCUUUCUUCCUUUCACAGUUUCUCUUCCCAACACUGGACUGCUGCUGCUACCCUUUUUUUCCUGACUCUCAAAACCGAGUCCAACACGCCACUCCACUUCACUCCAGACUCACUCCCUCCCCAACUCAAACUCGGUCCUGUCUCCUGCAACUCAGACACCUCCUUAUGUACCUUCCACGUGGGGUCUCUAUCUCUCUCCUCUGCUAUUCACCCUCCCACUCAACUACCCCACACGUCAUACCCUCUCCUCCUGCUCUCUGAUCCUCUCUCUGCCAUCUCCACCAGUCCCCACUCUUAUAUUAAUCAUCAUCUUUUCUAUUUCUUUUAGGCAUAAUACCUUUUCCCACCGUCCAACUUUAUGAAAAACUCAUUUCAGUCCCAUUUAUUUUUUUCACCUUUAAAUAUAUGUUUUUUAUCAAAUCACUUCAAAAUUUAUAGAAAAAUUAAAUUUCUUUUAAAAUUUUCUGUGGUAAUAUACAUGUAAAUUGCAACAUGGAUAACACGUCAAUAUUUAAUUAAUUUUUCAUUAAAUUUAUUAAAAAAGUAUAAAAAUUUAAAAAUUAAUUAAAUGCUGACAUGUCAAUUCACGUAUAUGCCAUGUCAAUACAGUUAACAAACGUAGAUUUUUUUAUCCAUUUUAAGGUGAUUUGACAAAAAAUAAAAGUUUAAAGACUAAAAAGAAACUAAAAAAUGAAUAGAGCCCUAAAAUGAUUUUUUUCGUAAAGUUAGAGGGUCAAACACGAUAUUAUGCCUUUCUUUUAUUUAUAGUUUUUAUACUGAAAGAAUAUUAAAUGCAGGCGCCGCUGAAUACCCGUACAGAGGAAAAAGAAUAGGGCAUACGUAAGCACCGGCGCUGAGUUCACUCAGUUGACAGACACACCUCCCCCCUCUGCUCCACACGUCUAAUCAGGCGGCGGCUCUCUCUUUUCUUUAUUUAAAUAUAUUCUUAUUUUAUAAUGGGUUAAUGUCUUGGUUAGUCCUUGAGCUUUCAUCUAAUGGGCAAUGUGAUAUUUAUAUAAAGAAAAGGUCUAAUUUGAUACAAAACUUUAAUUUAAUGAUUGGUGGUGGGAUUUGAUUAAAUUAUUAUUUCUUAUUUUAAGCAAUAAAUAAAAUUUUAAAAAUUAUAUUCAAAAUAUUAUAUCAAUCAUAUAAUGACAUUCAUUUAUACGUCCUUGUGAAGUCAUCAUGAAAUUAGAUGAUAUUAAAGCUUUGGGGUAGGUUGGUACAUAAUAGAAUAGUAAGAUUUCUAAAAUCAGAUUGAUGAUCGAAUCAGUUAGAUUAUCGACUAAUUCAUAAGUCAACCGAUCUAAUUUUUUAAUCACACCGAUGCUCAAAACCAAUUUAAUCCAAUUCAAACAACAUUCCGGAAUAGUAUAGAUACCAAAUUGAAUAUUUUGGUUAUACAAAUACUGGAUUAGAUAUUAAAUUAAAGUUGAGGGGCUAACUAUGGAAUUAGCAUUUAACAUUUAAAUUUGCAGUAAUGGGUACGGGAGAGACCGUAGUGGGUCACUUCUUUUUAACUACAUACAAACGCACACAAAGUCCCCUCCGGUCUCCCUUUUCAUAUCAUAUUUACUUUUUCUUUUUUUUCUUUAUAUUUUCUCUUCCACUAAUACUAAUAACCCCCAAAGCUAAAACCUUUGAGCUUCUCUUUCAUGGCGUCCUCAAGGGAAGGUCACUACAGAGGUGUAAGGAAGAGACCGUGGGGAAGAUACGCAGCUGAAAUACGUGAUCCAUGGAAGAAAACAAGGGUUUGGUUAGGUACAUUCGACACACCCGAAGAAGCUGCACUCGCUUACGACGGAGCAGCUAGGUCCCUCCGUGGUGCCAAAGCUAAAACCAACUUCCCCACACCGUCUUCCUCUUCUUCUCCGCCGCCGGCUCUUUCUCUUGAUCUUAAUCUCGCUUCUCAUAAUCCCCAUCGUUGGGCUUUAGCUUCACCUCAUCACCAUCACCGUUUUGCCGCCGUCGGUGAUUUCCUUCAAGCUGGUGGUAUUAAAGAUAUGAACUUUGGUCCCGACCCAUCGUCUUCGACGAGACCCAAUGUCCUCUCCGUUUCAACUUCCCCUCCGGUGACCGCAAAUGGUAACACGGCGUCGUUUCUUGGGAUUGUUCGACGUGGUUUGCCUAUAGAUUUGAAUGAGCCACCUCCACUGUGGCUGUGAAUGUGGUUUUUCUUCUCUAGGCAUUUUGCAGGCUCCCUUUUUAACCUUUAACCCUUCCUUAGGCAUCUUUGCUACUUCUGUUUAGUAAUUAUUCUGUAUUUUGAGAACUAAGAAUCAUAAUAAAAAAAAACAUAUUAAAAACUGAGGACCCUUUGUGUAAAUAUAUGUUUUUUUCCUUAACUUAUGUAUGAUUUAAAACACUUUAUCAGAUGUUUUUAUCUUCAUUUUUUUAUUUUACUGCAUGAAUAUGAUUUAAUCGUCGAUUUUAAUCUGCUACCCGGGAACCAAACAGAUACAGAUACAGAAUCUCUGUUUCUAAAGCCAUAAAGGAUGCAUCUUUGUUGAGGAAAAAAAGAAAAAGCACAUGCACGCGCAGGUUAGGUGCGAGUGGGGCUUGGACAGUUGGCGAUGGCAGCUAACACUGUGUAAAGUUGGGGGGUGUAUUUAGACGUGGUACAAAAUGCGAACCAAAGCGUGUGGAUUUUGCAUUCCUAUUAUAGCUCGCGUGUUCAGAGAUCUGGUUUACAUUAAAGCAGCAGCUUAUUGUUUAGACCAACUCGCUUCGUCGCGCGUUCUUUCUACUCUCCAGUUCCUAUUAUAUUGCCCCCGGAAAUAUUAGUUUAGUUGAUUUAUUAUUCAUUUGCCAAGUUAUUUUAUAAAACUUUAAAUACAAUUUUAUCAUUGUUCUAGCAAAGGUUAAUUUAUUUUUAGUAUGAUGUCUUUUAACUUUCCUUUUUUCAGUCUUACAUUAUCGUAUCUUACUGCUAUUAUUAUUUUUACACUAAUUUUUACGUUAACUGCAAAUAAAUAUACCUUCUAUUUAGAAUCUUAUACAUGGAUCUGACAACAUUUUCUACCCCUAGAAUAUUGGGUCGUGCUUUAACUUUAGAGUGAGGUACUUCUUACUUAAACCCUAAUUUGCUUUUUCAAAUAAAAAUGGGAUUUAAGAAAAUGAAGGGAAAUUUUGUAGAAAAGGCAAAUGGUGGGGGAUUUUAUGGGAAAAUGUGGUCCAUUUUGUAUCUUGUCCUUGCUUACCUACCUCUUGCAUGCCUCAAAACCUAUGAAAGUUAUCCAUUACGAAUAUAAUAUUUGCUUCUUUUCAUAUGAAUCAAUAAAAGAAAAUAUAAUAACACUGUUGUGUAUGAUAUUAAAGUUUCCUGGUUUAAGUAUUAAUUCUAAUUAAUAGUUUAAGUAUCACAUUGAACAUUUUCAAAAUACGUGUAUUACAUUAUAUAUUUUAUGAAAACAUAGAUUUCAAAUAAUGCACAAAUUGAUCGCAUUAGAUAUUUUCAAAGUAUAUGUAUCAUAUUGGGCAUUUCAUAAAAGUACGAGUACAAAAUGAUUACCUUACAGUACACCCACUAUGUCGGUGACAAAAAAUUAUUGUUUGUGCUCGUAAAGAACCUCAAAAUCAUAUCCAUAUUCGUUUGUUUAAAAUUAUAUAUGCUUGUAUAAUCUCUUGUUUGUAUUAAAUGUACUUGUUUUUAAACAUCAAACAAAUAUGUUCGUGAACAUGACACAAAUAUUGUCACGAACAUAUAAUUGAACAUGACCAUAUUUGUGAACAAAUAUACAUUUAAUCGUGAAUAAUAAGAGAAACAUAAAUAAACAGACAAACAAUAGUAAUAUUAUCAAUACUAUAAUAACCGAACAAUAAACAAGCUUCAAUGAUUUAUUAAAUGAGGUUAUUCAUGAACAUUGGUGAAUUAAAAUGUCAUGUUCUUGUUCAGUUUGGUUAAUAAACAAGUCUCGGAAUCCUGUUCAUGUUCGUUCACUUAAUUUUACAAACGAAUGCAAAUGAACAAAAAUCAUCCAACACCGUAUUCGCUUACAACCUUAAUAUAUUCUAGUAUUACUAACAAUGAUACAAGUCUGAUAUAAAAAGCACAAAUUUGAAGUAGAUUGAUAAGCCAAAAUCAAAAGCCAAAUAGGGUUAAAACAUAGUGGCAAAAAUGUUAAAAGCAAUGUACCAUACUAUUAUUGCACUAUGCUUUUUAAAGGAUCAUGCGGAAUGGAAAGACUUUUGAGUCAAAAUAAAAAAGGCAAAUUGGCAUAUUGAUAGCCUUCCAUUGAAUAGUUUCCACCCAAAAAAAUUCCCAUUGCCAUAUUGGUUGUGUACCCCCCAUGGAUAAAUAAAGGCCAAAAGCAUAAUAAUGUGGUUGAGGCGGCCUAGCUAGCUAGGGAAUACCAACAUUGGAUCGUUUUAACCCCUAAAAUGAUGGCUUAGGGUUUGGCAGAUCAUGGUAGAAACAUUGAAUGGUAUUCAAACCACAUCAUGGGAAGGUUGUCUUGUUGCAACAAAAGAUAAAUUAAUGAGAUGUAUACAUUAAAGAUUGUUUAGGUAAAUCAGUGAAUACAUUUAUAUUUGUAGGGUUUCUUUCAGAGUUGAAAUUUGUUACAAAAGUUGAGUAAUGUUGAUACAUGGUAUCAACAGAAGACGAGAUGGAGGGGGAUGGAGUCCCGGUUCAGAAGAAUCCAAACUCCGAAAUGGAGUAUCUGAGAUUACUUAAAUUAUAGCUAUUUUGGAUCGGUAAUCAAAUUAAAUUCCGAGUCGGAUUAUUAUAUAUUUUAUUGUAAUUAUAUAACAAGUACAAGCAUCAAUUUAAACCCAAUCAAUCUAAAGAUCAUAUUGUAGUUUUAGUCUCGAGUACUUCUAAUGAACUCACUCAGCAGCAUACCUAACAUUUCCUACUUGAUGUCUAUACCUUCAAUAGCAAAUACCUCAUACAAAAAGGAAUAAAUAACAAAAAUUGCAUCAAGCAAAAUAACUCCAAUAGAUUUGCUUUAAUACUCUUAUGUUCAUGGUUUUCAUGGAAAAUUGUAGUCCCUAGUUAAACUGAGUGACAAUUAGUUUUUUGGUACUUUUCAUUUCGGUUUUAAAAAUUCAUAUUUGAGGUUUGUAAUUAUCUUCCUCAUCAAUUUUAUCUUUAAGAUUUGAGCAUACGUCUCCCCUUAAAAUACGUGUCUAACCAAUACAUCGAUCACUUAUUGCUAAAUUUAUGACAAUGAAAUAAUCCCCUUUAUAUAACAAUAUCACCCAUAAAUCAGCUCUAUCUUUAUCCCUAAAAAAAAGAAAAAUCCUACUAAUUAACAAAUCUUCACAUUUCAAAUCAAAUCUAAUCAAAUCUCUAUUGAGUUAAAAAUAUUGACUAGUAAGAUAUGUUCAUAUUAUUGCAAUAUUUGUAACAUUCAUUUAAACAACAAUUUACCCAAGUUCAAUUAUCGUUUUUUUAAAAAAUCACUUUUUUUUAAUUUCUCAAGAUAUCUUCUGUAAACCCAUUAAGGGAUAGGUGCUGAUCACGAGUUUUAAAAUUACUCCAUACCCUCAUUUAAUUAUCAACUCGCACGAGUAAUAUAUUUAUCAUUAUUUUAUUACCUCGAUGGGUUAUAUUUAAAUAAAUUUAACCUAUGAUUCAUAGCAUGUAAUGAAAGCUAAUAGUUUUCUCAUUGACAACUUUUUCUCCUACAUUUUUCAUUAUAUAUAUAUAUUCAUCAACUACAAAUUUAAUGUUAACAAUGUCGUAUUGAUCUCGACCUACCAAUCUUAAAUUAUUUUAUGUUCCAUGCAUAUGAUUACAUUAUUAUCUAACCCAACAAACUUUCUUCAAUCAAUAAUUUUCAAUAUCUCUGAUUUUUUUAGAAAGAUAAAAUUUUCGCCAUUCAAUCAUUGGUUAUCCAUCUUUAGUUAGAUAGGUUAUAAACUAUUGGUUAAAAUAUGUUGUUAGUGCUUAUACUUAUAUAGAAUUUGAGUUUAGUCCCUAUACUUUAAAUGCUAAAAAUCCAAUCUUCCUAUUUAUUUUGAUUUAUAAAUCCUAAUCUAAUCAUUAUCUUCGUUGGCAGUUUUUGUUACAAUUUAUCAACCCAACAUGUUUAUUUCCUGUCAAUCAUAUGUCGUACAUCAUACAAGGUCGACAAAUUAUGACAAAAAAUACUUACAAUUUUAAUGACAGGUUGAGAUUUUUAGAUCAAUAAAGUAGGAGGACUUAAUUUUUGGCUUUUAAAAUGUAGUGACUAAAUCCCAAAUACUAUAAAAUUAGAGCGACUCACAUCAUAUUUUAACCUAAACUAUUCAAUGCAUCUUUAAAAAUAAUAAUUUUAUCAAGGUACAUUUCUUUUUUCAGUAUCACUACAAUAUGAAUUAUAUAUGAUUGUUGACCCUCUAACACGAAAUUAAAAAAUAUUAAUAUAAUAUUCACAAAGAGCACACUAAAAACAUUCUUUAACAAAUAAAUAAUAUAAUCAGUAAAAAUGUAGAGCAUCACUUCAAUACAAAACCAAGUAAAUAAUAAAGAAUUAUUGUCGUCACUAAAGCAAAUUCAAGAAUAAAAAUGCAAAAUUCUUAAUAAAUUAAACUAGAGAGAUUAAAUUCUUAAUUUUGAAAAAGUAGAGGGAUGAAAAUAAAAUUAGACCUAAAACACUAUUGAAACAUGUUUCGUGGUUCUAGUUGUAAAACAACUAAAGGCAAGAGGCUUUGUAGUUUAAGUUUAGGCGGUGGUGACCAUAAAUCAAUUUGAAGAACACAAAAGAUUACAACUUUGAUUGAUAACAUAAUGUAUAAUGUAUGUAGGAGUAGAGGAGGUUCCUUCUCUAAGGUCAACAUAUGCCAAAUUUACAUCUCUUAAUCAAUGUUACUAUCUAUAAAAUUCGAAUCUAAUUUAUAUGCACAAAGCAGAUAAAAGUAUCGUGAAAAUUCGUAUAUUACAGGUUUACGUUUUGCACCCUUUACUUUAAAGCAGACAAAUUAUUCAUUGUAUGUUAAAUCAAAAGGUAAAUUAAAAAUUACAUCUAUUUAUACUGUUAAAAACUAAUAUAACUAACAUAAUAACUAGACAGUGACAUGUACACUUCAUCCUAAUGUAUAUAGACUAAUUUUUAAUGGUAGAAAUGGAUAAAAUUUUUAACACAAGGACUAAUUUACUGUUUAAUCUAACAUACAUGGACUAAUUUAUUCAUUUUUUAAUAGAAGGGACAACAUAUAAUUCGACGCUCUUAAAAUAGUGACCUCUAUAGUGUUAGGAUCGUCCCGAUUAAGCAACGAACAAGUAAAAAUAGUAGAAGAAAUUGAGAAGAUGAACACACAAAUUUAACGUGGAAAAACCCCUCAAAAGAGGAUAAAAAACCACGGGCAAAGAUAAUUUUACUAUAAUGGCAAAAGAAUGAAGAGUACAAAAGAUGGAGAUAAAAACUAAACCUCAAAAACCCGAAAAACAAAGAACCCUCAAACGUAAACACAAAAUUCUCUGAAUGUGUUAUGAGUUCUAAUCUAAUGGGUGUCUCUUUAAUUCUAAGAUUGUAAAGGAGCCUAUUUAUAGGCUAAAUUAGUAAGUCAAAUAAACUAUACUAAUAAAUGCUAAAUAUAUUAUACUAAUAAAUACUAAAUCUUCUAGAAAGAAAAUAUAUUUUUGUUUAACUUGACUUGCAAGCAAUCUCUUAGAAUUUGGGUCACACAAUUCUAACAAUCUCCACCUUAACACAAAUUCUUUCAAUGCCAUCUUUGCCAAAACCCGCCACGGGCCUAUCUUGAACUAUGCAGGGAAUUAACUGAGUCGAAUCUAUGCUUAGAAGCUGGAAGACUUCUAGCCUUCGACUUGUGCACUGCCAAAUCAAAACUAACCCGGGUCUGAUUUUCACGAAUACAGUGCCCUAACUUUUCAAAACCUGCAUCCAAAAGAGAACCUCUCUUCAACGAAACAGUCAUACCUUUUUUCCUCCUAUGACCAAGUUGCCUCCGCUUCAAAUGAGUUGACUUUGACUCCGUAACGGACGAGAGACGUCCGAUUUCACCGGUUACUGUAGAACCUUCCAGAAUAUAAAGACUGCCGGUUCUUUUACCUUUUAACAAAACGAGAGCUCCACGAGAUACUUUAAUGUCGCUCGACUCGAUGUUGAUUCUGCAUCCUUUCAAGUCUAAAAUACUCAAGGAGAUGAGAUUCUUUCGUAAAUCAGGUACAUACCUGACAUCUGAGAGUGUCCUAAUCGUCCCAUCGUGUAUCAUAAUUUUAACAGUACCAAUACUGAUUAUUUUACUAUAUGAAUCGUUUCCCAUGUGCACAACUCCACCUUCAACUGAACUGUAUGUGGAGAACCAUUCUCUAUUAGGACACAUGUGGAAAGAGCAUCCUGAAUCUAGGAUCCACUCAGACGUAAGCUUGGAAUUAUCGCUCGUUGACACUAACAAGAAAUCAUCAUCGCCUUCAUCGACCAAAUUAGCACCAGCUACAUCUUCCUCGUUACUCUCAGCAGCUUUUUUAUUUCGCAGUUUAUAACAAUCUGCUUUGACGUGACCUAACUUUUUACAAUAGCGACACCUUUUGUCUCGUUUCUUUGAUGCUACCAAAACGGAAGCUUGCCUAUCUGCUUUGCUAUUCAAACCAAACUCAUUGUCGAGUUUGUCUCUACUCAACAAAUGACCCUUCACAUCUUCGAACAAGAGUUUGUCUCUGCCAUAAAUCAGGGUUUCCCUGAAAGACUUGUAUGAAUAGGGUAAAGAGCAUAAUAACAGCAUAGCUUGAUCUUCAUCGUCAAUAUGAACCUCAACGUUCUUUAAAUCAUUUAAAAAAGUGAUGAAUUGACUGAUGUGAUCUUUAAGAAGCUCACCUUCGUUCAUGCGAAACGUAAAUAGACGUUGUUUCAACACUAAACGGUUAGCCAGAGACUUAGUCGCAUAAAGAGUUUCUAACCUUUUCCACAAGGUGAAUGAGGUCUUCUCCAUCAAUACCUCCUGCAAUACUGUAUUCGCGAGGCACAACUGGAUUGCAGACAAUGCCUUUUCAUCGAGCUCUUCCCAUUCUGUUUGAUUUAGAUUCUUAGGCUUUUUCCCUGUAACAACCUUUUUCAAGCCAUUUUGAACUAGAAUUGCCAUCAUCCGAACUUGCCACAGGUUGAAAUUUGUCUCACCAUCGAACUUCUCAAUUUCAAACCUUGUUGCUGCCAUCUCUGAAUGGGCUGAUCUAUGAAAGUUAAACUAGCUCUGAUACCACUUGUUAGGAUCGUCCCGAUUAAGCAACGAACAAGUAAAAAUAGUAGAAGAAAUUGAGAAGAUGAACACACAAAUUUAACGUGGAAAAACCCCUCAAAAGAGGAUAAAAAACCACGGGCAAAGAUAAUUUUACUAUAAUGGCAAAAGAAUGAAGAGUACAAAAGAUGGAGAUAAAAACUAAACCCCGAAAACCCGAAAAACAAAGAACCCUCAAACGUAAACACAAAAUUCUCUGAAUGUGUUAUGAGUUCUAAUCUAAUGGGUGUCUCUUUAAUUCUAAGAUUGUAAAGGAGCCUAUUUAUAGGCUAAAUUAGUAAGUCAAAUAAACUAUACUAAUAAAUGCUAAAUAUAUUAUACUAAUAAAUACUAAAUCUUCUAGAAAAAAAAUAUAUUUUUGUUUAACUUGACUUGCAAGAAAUCUCUUAGAAUUUGGGUCACACAAUUCUAACAUAUAGCACUUUUACCACACAAAGCAUUGGAACCUUAAUCACUUAUGCCAAUCCCAUUAGCUUAUUGCUUAUGCAGAAAGACGUGCUACAACAUAUUUUAUUUUCUAUUUAAAGAUUGAAAAGAGAUAGUAAUUUUUUUAGGGAUAUCAAAUUCGAACCCUAAAUCCAUAGCUUAGAAAAAGAAACGAGUAUUGAAAAGGAAAGGGGGAGCUUAGUGAAGGUUUAGAGUUUUAUGGGUUGGUCAGCAUUUUGGGGUUUGGGGCCAUUUUUGUUGGACGGUGGCUUCGCUUUGCUUAUUAAUUUCAUCAUCCAAAAGAAUUAAAAGGAAAAAGAAAAUACAUGAAGUAAUUGUCAAAAACAGAAAUCCCAAUGAACCCACGUCAUACCCAUUUGUUCAAGCAUUGAUAAUGAUUUUGCAACAACUAGGCUUCAUUUCUUCAAAGUUAUCCCCAAACUAUUGCAUGGCUUCUAAAUUAGACCUUCAACUUCAAAACCUUUUAAUUGAAUCAUUGAAGUAUCAGUUCAUACUAAUCAAAUCCUUUUAUCGAUAUGACAAUUAAUUUAGGUGUUAAAUGCCUAUUCAGAUAUGAUAUGGAAUUUUUUAAAGGUAGUGGAUUAAAAGGUAAACACAUGGGUACUUACAAUAUCGAUAACUAUAUCCAAACUAAUCAUUCGAUAAGUAUCCAGUUUCCUAAUAAGUCGUUUUUUUUAAGUAUACAGGCACAAUAACAAUUACGUACAUAUCCAAAUCAAUAAGUGAACUAAUACUAAAAGUCGAACAAUAAUAAUUUUAAAGAGAAGUCACAUGUUAUAGGAAUUAAGUCGUAAUAAAUUAAAAAGCAAUUCACACAUGAUUCACAACAUGGGAGUUGAACUUGACUGCUUGAGGUAUUAAGGUCCUAAAGCCUAAACCUUUGGUAAUAAUGUCAAUACCUUAUUGUCAAACAUCAAAUAUGAGCUACUAUUAAUGUACAAACUAAUGGUUAGGUUGGCGAAAGGACAUGCAUAAUACUUCCAAGGAUUCAUUUAAAUGUAUAAGCUAAUGGUUAGAGCAAAAGUACAUGUUUGAAACUUUUGUUAUCAAUUUAAAAUCUAAGGUCAUAGUUUGGAGAGUAUGAUGCAAUUAACCCAAUUAAAGAAUCAGGUUGAAAGUAAUAGUACUAGUAGUUAAAGUAUGAUUGUAUUUUGCCUGUAAAUUAGUCCAUGUACAUUAGAUCAAAUAAUAAAUUGACCCUUUUAUUAAAAUUUUCAUUAUACUAUUAAAAACUGGUCCUCGUAUGUUAGCAUGAGGUGCACAUGGCAUAUUACAUGUCACUAUUUGGUUAUUCUACUAGCUAUUUCGAUUUUUAACAUUAGAAAUAGAUGAAAUUUUAAUAAAAAUGACUAAUUUGCUCAUUAAUCUAAUGUACAACGACUAGUUUACCAUAUAUUGAGUAAAGAGUCAAAAUGUAAUCCGACACCUACUACAGGGACGUUCAUGGUACGUUUACCUAGUACUAAUAAUCUUUUUUUUUUAAAUUGUAUUUUUCCUUCAAAUUUUCAAAAAAAUCUAAAAAUAUUAUAAAAUAAAAUAAAAAGCAAAUUAUCAAAAGUCACUUUUUUGUCUCAGAUUACAUUUUAAUCACUUCUUUUUAAGAUGUUACGUUUUAGUCACUUAUGUUAUCGCGUUGUAACAUUUUAGUUACUAACUGUUAUUUGUUGUUAACGGUGUAACGGUAAGCUGACAUGGCACAUUAAAUCAUCAUUUCAAAAAAAAAAUUCGGUUAAUUUAUACAAUUGGUCCCUAUAUUUUUUCUUUUGAAGCAAUUUAAUUUUUUUCUUUUAUACUAUUUUAACUUUCAUUUUUUUCUUUUUUUUUCAUUCUCUUCUACGUCUUCCUCUGUUUUCCUCCCUUAUUCAUUUCUUUUAAUGUAGUUUUUCUAUGUUUUUCAUUUGUUAAAACUAGUCUCUACACUUUUAUUUUCUAUUGACAAUAUAUUUUCAUAUGUCUAAUGUCGUGUCAAUUUGCUAGUACUCACGAAAAAUUAUAUUAUUUUAAUUAAUGAAUUUAAUAACUACUGCUUGAGUUAAGAAUAGAAUUUCAAAAUUUUAAGUAAUAAUAAGAAUUGUACACCAUCAAAUUAAAGAAUAAAAACUGAAUCAAUAACAAAACAUAGUGUGGGACUAAUAACAUAAUCUGACCUAAAUGAAUUAAUUGUAUCGUUAUAGGUUAUCGAAGGCAAUCGACUCAUUCGAGAGAAGUCUUUGAAGUAUCGUCUAUUGGGCAAUUGAUCGAACUCCCAACAAUGGUUGUUACUGGGCUUGGGACAACUAUGCUUAGUUUUAGUUACGAGCUUUGUCUCCCAAUUCCAUUAAGUGCCUCGAGUGAGAGCACAAAGCGCAUACAUCAACUAUGGAAAUGUUAGCAUUUGCUAUUGGUGGGGUUUGAACCUAGGUAUUAAUCUUACUGACAAAUACCAUAUAAGGGCAUGAAUUCAAACCCUAUCAAGAGCAAAAUGCUUACAUUUCCUUGGUGGGUGAAGGCACUCCCAACGUAAACCCUUCUAAGCUCUAGACGAAAGCAAGAGACUAUUUGGGGCGAAAACUAAGCACAGAAACUUUGGAUCCAAUACCAAUCAUUGUUUGGGAUUCAACUUGCUACUUGAUAGACAAUAUUUCAAGGACUUCUUCUAAAAAUGUCGAACCCUUCAACUUGCGUAAUUGAAAUUUCAAAACUCAGAAAGUAGAAACAAAAUGUACAAAAAUUAAGUUUACAACUCAAGGACUAAUAACAAAAUUGAACCAUUUUAAAUUCUAGGUAUUUAGACAAAGAGAGGUCAUUUUGGUAUAAAUAUAAUCUUUCGUGGAAUCAUAGUGGCAACCAAUGAAAUCCCAGCACGAUGAAUGAUGGCAAAUGGACAAGAAGUAGUCGGUUUGGAUAGUGGUUUUGGACCAAGAGUACUAUAAUGUUGUUGAGCAUAGUGGGGAACAUGGAACGUGACCGCCGAACAACCUUGGCGGCUUACGUCUAUGAACUUUAAUGUUUGUUUUGUAUUCUUCUCACCUUUGAAAGCAAUCGCCCAUGGCUACGGGUAUCGCAAUACUAUUAAAUAUUUGCACUGAGCAGGAUUGGAUUGGAUACGAUCGAAUUUUUAUAAAUUUUUUUAAUUCGAAUUAAUUUUUAAUUUUUAUAUUUUUAUACUAUAAGAUAGUGGUAUUUUUUUUUUGAAAAUUGAUUUUUUUUAUAUUAUAGUCCUCUUAAUAACGUAGUCUUUAGUAUUAGGAUGUAAUUUCUCUCAUUAAGACUAUAAAGUGUUAUGAUUUUCUUAAUAAAAAAUUGGAGUUCAUUGAAAAGAGGAAAAAUCGCCUAAUAACUACAAUCCACAGUGAAUAAUCAAAACACUCUCUCCUCAAGAAUACAGUUCGCUAAAUGAGUGACCUUCCUUUAAUAAACUAAAUAAAACCAGAGGACAUCAUAAACACAGCUUUCAAGAAAGUAAAUAAAGCUUUGAAAAAAUCUUGAGCGUCCCAACUUCAGUCAGAUGGAUUUACCCACCAGCGAUCUUUUCUUGCCGCAACCUCGGCAAAAUCAAGCAGCUCCUCCACCCAGUAUUUGUUCUUGUUAAAAUCGAAGCCUUUGGUGGUCGGUUGAAGUGCCAUAAGGUUCUUGUUCCUACUGGAAAAUCUGAACCAACAAGCACUAAAACGAGUCGCAACUUGCUUUCCAUCAACAAUAUAGGUGUUGAUAACUAAUCGGCCCGUUUAGGGUAUCUAUGAGUCUCUUAAUAAUUGUGUGUGCGUUUUCUUCACUCUUCCCCGAUUAGACCUAAUUUUUAGUAGUGUCGAAAAAUAUAGUUUCGAAAUCUCAUUUUUAUAAAUCGAGUCAAUAAAUAUUAAAUAUGAAUAUUUACAAAGUUAUUAUAUUAAUGAAUUAAAUUUCAGUUAAAUAAUUUAAUCGAAACUGUGAUAAAUUAUGGCCUAGUGACUAAACUGUAAAACUUUAAUCGUUAUACAUUUUUAAUUAGGAAAAAGCUUGGGGGCUUAGAUAACAAUUAUCCAAAGAAUUAAGAUAGUAAAUAAACCAAAUUAAAAAAUAUAAUAUUAAAAUUUGAUGUGGAUAUCAUUAACUUAAGUUAAUUAAGGAUUUAUGUUAAUUAAUUAAUAUUAAAACAUGUUAAUUAAAGUAUAAAUAAUAAACAAAAUGAAAAGAAAGAGAAAAUGUUAUCAUCUUCAACCGGUGGAAACUGAAGAAAAGAAAGAAUAUUAAUAUGGUGUGAAUUGAUAAAUAUUAACCUUGUGAAAAUUAUGUCAUGUUCAUUGUAUGUAAAUUAAUGAUAAUUAUGUCGUGGUAAUGUUAAUUUUUAUAGAUUCGCGGUGGAGUUUUUUUUUUUGAGAUUUACUUUUAACUUUGAAUGUGAAAGUGAAAACAAGAGAACGGAAGCUACUAAUAUCUUGGCAGUCCUUUAUUAGAUUUGAAAACAUGUGGUAAAGGGAGUAAUUUUUUAGUAAGUAUGAUCAGAUAUGUAAUUGUACAUAUCUCAUUCCCAAUCAAUUUUGAAAAAAGUUGUCCAUUCUGGCAUUUUUUUGUUUCUGAGGUUUUAACUCAACAAACUCUUACAAACCUCUAUUCACCAAACAUUACAAUAGAGUGUUUAACUACCUAAUCGUUUAUUUGUGCUCAAAUCAACUGAAAAUGACUAAAAACUCUAUUUACCAAUCACCUCUAUUAAGUGAUAAGUAGCUUCUAUAUAUUUUAGAUGCUUCAAUGAGACACUAAGUGUCAAAUUGAUAAGUCCCAGGCACAACCUUUACUUCGGUUUUACUGUCGAGCUCUAGGUGCAAUCUAUAAAUUUCGGAUUCUUUGAUGAGACAUAAAGUAUCAAAUUAGUAUGUUGGUUGAGACCUAUGUAUCUAUUUAAGUUCGAGUCAAAUAAAGAGGAGAUAUAAAUUAAGAAUUAUUCAAAUGAUGCUUUAAAUAAAUUAGUGUUACGAAAUUGUACUACAAAUACAGAUAUGUGAUAUAUGAUUAUUGAUAGCAUGUGGGGCCGGUAUGGAAAGAUAAUUACAAAGUUUGAAGUUUGAAGUUUAAAGAUUAAGUUGAAAAAAUAAUUAAGGGGGCGAGGAAAGUGUGUGGAAUUACAAUUUACAAUUACACCUCUUGUUAGUUAGGUAAAGUUGUAACCACGUGUGAGGCUGUCAGGUUCUCCCGACACCGUACGUGUCUCUGACGGCUUUAACAUUUUUCUUUGUUUCCUCAUGAUAUGGGGCAAUCCAAUAAUAGCAAAGCUGUCUUGCCUUUGAAAUUGAAAUUUCAUAAUUUCCUUUUUUUUUAAUAAAAAAUAUUUAUCUAUAGCUAAUAAUAAAGUAGGCCAAAUAAAUAGCCUGAAUAAAUUUGAUUAGACAUUAAAUAAUAUUUUCUGAGCCCAUGAAUGGCAAAAUCUGUACGACGGUCGAAAACGACGUAGCAUAAAUCCCCAAAGCAAGAAUAAAGAUGCGGGACAGCCUUCUAGAAAACUAAAUAAAAUAAAUAAAUAAUAAUAAAAACAGAAAAUCAGCAGCCAUGGAAAUGAAAAGAAAAUAUUUUUUUUUAAAGAGAGACAAGUGUCACCUCAUAGGAAACGAAUUAAGGCAAUAUAUGUAUAUAAUGGUAAGCCGGCAGCCGCCCCACAAUUCUUCAACCUAACCUAACAUCUCCUUUAUUACGAUUCUUUAUUUUUUUUAUUUUUUUUUUGCCUCUUUCCACUUUAUUGUAUUAUUAUUUUGACGGUCGAUUUUAGUACAUACUUGUCCUUUUUUUUUAAAAUAUAUAUAUAAUUUCUUUUUAAAAAUGAAUAUUUUAGGGUUUCAAGAUUCAAAUAUAAUAUUUAGAUGUUAACGUUCGGUGUUUUAAAAUUUAAGUUUUAAAGUUUAAGGUUUAGAGCUUCAAGAUUUAAAGUUUAGAGUUCGGAUUAAAAAAAUGAAUGUAACUUGAUUCAAGGUUUCAAAGUCUAGGGUUUUAAGAUUCAAGAUACAAUGUUUUAUUGUUUAGGAUUUCAAGGUUCAAAAUAUAAAAUUUAGAGUUUAAGAUUUAGUAGUUUAAAAUUCAAGCUUCAAAAUUUAGGAUUCAGAGUUUCAAGAUUUAAAAUCUAGAGUUCAGAUUAAAAAAUAAAUGUAGCUUAAUCCAUGGUUUUAGGAUUCAAGAUAUAAUAUUUAAGGCUUAAAGUUUAGAAUGUAGGGUUAGUUUAAGAUUUAAUAUUAAGGGUUUAUCAGUUCAAGAUCCAAAAUUUAAGUUUUGGGAUCAUUCAAAGUUUUAGUUAAAAGAAUAUGUGAAUGAUAUAAAAAAAUUAAAAUAUUAUUAAAUAAUUGAUAAAAAAAACAAAAAGAAAACGCGAGGUUUGUAUCUCAUACAGUAUAAUGAAAAUGAGAAAUUAUAUUAAUUACAAAACCAGCAACAAUAACGAGGGGGAAAGCGAAAUCUUUGACUUUCAGCAUAUGUAUUGGCGACCAAAGACCGGGGCCCAUAAACACAAUAAAAAGCGGCAGCCGCGCAUCCACACUUACCACUUCCAGCGCUUGCGUUCCACGUGGGACCCGGUCUUGUCCCCUUCCCCCUCCACCUUUUAUUUAUUUAUUAUUAUUUAGUUUUGACGGUAAAUGAUUAGAUUUUGGAAGUGGUAGAGACAUAAAAAACAGAUUCAAUAGAUCGGACGGCCGUAUAACACGUGUAGUUCACACGCGAAUCUCGAGAAGUUAAAAACAUGGGAAAAAGUUUUUAAUAAUUAUUGCCGGUCUCCUACUUAGAAACCCGCUCUUUCCGCUUACGCGCGCCGCUUGUUUUCCUCUUAUAAUAUCACUCCCAUCUUUUUACCCCCCCUUUUUUUACUGUUUAUUUUGUUACUGUAUAAGACAUAGUAAUUAUGCUAAUCUUAUUAAAUUUCGCAAUUGUUUUUAUUUUUCUAAAAUUUUAAAAUAUAGGGUAAAUAAUUAAAAUAGUCACGUUUAUUUACCUCAAGCUAUAUUUUAGUCACUUAUAUUUGAAAUGUUACGUUUUAGUCACUGAGCCAUUAAUUUCUGUUUAACGGUGUAACGAUAAGCUAACGUGCCAUGUUAAAUCAUCAUUUUAAACAAAAAUUUUGGGUUAAUUUGUACAAUCAGUCCCCAUUUUUUUUUUCGUUUUGGGUAAUUUAUUUUUUUCUUUAAUGUUAAUUUAACUUUUCUUUUUCUUUUCCCAUUUUCUUCUACUUCUUUCUUUUUUUUCCUCCAUUUUUUAUUUUUUAACAUAAAUUUUCUAUGUUUUCAAUUUGUAAAAAUUAGUUCUAUACUUUUAUUUUUUUGAACAAUUUAAUUUAAUUAACGGUUUAGUAACUAAAACGUGACAAUACGAUAACGUAAGCGACUAAAACGUAACAUUUUAAAUAUAAGUAACUAAAAUGUAACCUAAGACAAAUAAAAAUAACUAUUAUAAUUUACCCAAAAAUAUAUUAAUAAAAAUAAUUGUGGAGUAGUCACCCAUACCUAAGGUGUCCAUGGGCUGGGCCUGAACUCAUACCGAAAUUUUUUUGGGCCUAGCCCGAACCCGGCCCGGCCCAUGGACACCUCUACCCAUACCGACUGAAUCAUUAUCAUCUUUACCCAUUAAAAAAAUAUAUAUAUUGCUAGUUCCUAAGAAUUUUAGUGAAUCUUGUACUUUAAAAAUUAAAUUAAAUUAUUUACUGUUCAAUUAUUAUAGUUGUUAAUGGUUUUUAGAAAAGAUUAUGUGUUUAUUUUUUUGUUAAUAAUAUAUCGAAGACAGUUUAAUUAAAAUUUAAAACUAGAAAAAUAUUGACAGAAAAUACUUAUUAUUUUAAUGAUUCAAAUUUUGUUCUAAUUUAAUUUUUUACUAAAGUUCAAAUUAAGAUUGUUUUUUGAGCUUGGGCCAAAUUAAAAGUUUGUAAUAUUUUAUUACAAAAUUGAAUUAAUUUGGAUUUCAAGUUUUGCUAAAAAGGUUGAAAUUUUAGAGUUGCAAUAAUGUGUGAAAUCAAUUUCAAAUAAACCCUAAAUCAGAGGAUUUAGUUAAUCCAUUACUUUCAAUUGUGUUAAAGAAAAGAAAAUACCAAAAAAAAAAACAAUCCUAAUAAUUGAAAUUAUAGUAACUUGCAAAUUAAGAAAGUUGUUACCAUAUCACUUCAAAAAAAAAUAUAUAUAUAUAUAUAUAUAAUUUCAGGUUUUUUCUAUGGCGUUUAUUUUACUGCUUAAUUUUAUUAUCAUCGCUAGUAAAUGUAUGGUCUAUCUCGUGUAUAUAACUGGUAAUUAGUAUUUAGUAUUAUCCAUUUUUUAAAUAAUUAACAAAGGUUAAUUAAGAAAAUUGCUCUUCGUAAUUACUAAUUAAUUCAUUGAAAAUAAAAAAGAAUUACAGAAAUUAAUAUGAAACAACAGACUACAAACUAACGUUUCUCUGCUGCAAAAAAGGGAGGUUUUUCAUCUACGUAUUCACAAUUUACGCCGCUCUCGCGUAAUUUUUUUUUUGGGUAUAAUUUUCUUGUCUAAUUUUCAAAUUUGGGACUAAAAAGAAGAUUAACGAUUUUAAAGAUAGAAAAUUAAAAUUUUGUAGGUUUUUUUUUCCGGUUCUUGAUAUCGGCAAUUUUAAAAAAUAAUAAUCACGCGACUUCCGGAGCAGGUUGGUUGAGAUCGAUAUUGAGAAGCGGUCGCCGUUUGAUCUCGUGGUGGUUUAAAUCAACGACGGAGGACGAAUCUGAGUCGCUUUGUACACCAGCGUUGAAAGUUUCGUGAUAAUCACGGUGAUCGAAUCUCAACCGUUGUUGAUACUGCUGUCCUUUCAUAACACCGGGUCGGACCAACGCGUCGAAGUAAAAAACUUGGGGGGCUGCAACUGCCGGGACGCCGUUGGCGAAAAAACCGGUGGCCGACGAAAUUUGAGGGAAAGGAAGCCUGACGGCUGGAGAUCCGUACCCGAUGACUGCACCGUGUCCGAGAUUGAGAUCCAACGGUGAACAGUUGACGACUGUCGGCGGCUCGUGGCUUGAUGACUCCACGGUGCUACUCCGGCUAGGGCUGUGAUUGUUAUUGUUGUUGCUGCAGUUGGUAUCGCCAUUGUUGUGACAGUUACUACCAUUGUUGAGGAUUUCACCAGGGAGGGGGAAAUUAGUCUUCGCCUUGGCGCCGCGGAAUUCUCUGGCGGCGGCGUCGUAGGCCUUGGCCGCUUCCUCAGCUGUAUCAAAAGUUCCAAGCCAAACACGGCUUUUCUUCCCUGGAUCUCUGAUCUCAGCGGCGUAACGACCCCAUGGACGCUUCCUUACUCCUCUAAAAUGAACCUCUUUAGUACACCCAUUCCCGUUUCCCUUGACGUCCGCCGUUUUCUCCCUCGGCGCCAUUUAGGAAGCUCCGUUUUAAGAGUGAUGAAAUUUUGUUGAGAGAGGAAAAAAUGGUGGGGGAAUUGUCGUUUGGAUUUGUUGAAAUUGGUGCAAGGGCACGACGAUGUUUUUAUAGAGGGGAAAGGACGAAUCGGCGAGGAAUUGAAUGAAGAGGGGUGGCCACAGUCAACAACAGAUUUGACUGAGAGAAAAAGAUUGGUGCGUCAUGGCAGUUUCGUAAGUUUCAUAAAAAACCAGAUUACGUGGCUUGUGGGGUUGUCUUGAAGACAGCAUACUCUAUCAUCAUUAUCAUCAUCCAACGGCAGUUGUACUGUUCUUGUUUGUGUGCGGUGCUUUGGGCUACAUAUCACUCUCUCUUCCUUCACGUCAUUUUCACUCACCUUGAAAAUAAAACAGCAAACUCUAGCACUUACCCUUUGUACUAAAAGUUUGGUAUACAAUUACAGCCUAAAUUUUAAAUUGAGGAUUGAAUUUUAAAAAGUUUUAAUCAGGUUUUUGAAGUAUUACAAACUAAAGCGUAAUUUUAUCAUUAUACUAACAUAUAAUUUCAUAAAAUCCAAAUAGAUUAAAAGAUAUUUUACCAUUUUUGGGGCGUCUGACUACAUCUCUGGUUAAAUUCUCAUAUGAAUGUGUAGCAUAUCGAAAACAAAUGUAUCAAAUUGUAAAAAAGUAAUUACCUAUUGCAUAAACAAUAUGGAUCUGAUACAUUUAAAAAUUUUAUAUAAAGUUUAGUAUCAUGUUCAAGUUGCUUAUAUAGCUUGUACACGUGUUUACUGUCUUAUUUAUGAACUUCAAAUAUACACUAUAUCAAAAUUCAACCAUCAUUGAACACUUAAGUCAAAAGAAAAUACUUGAUUGAUGCCAUACAAAUAGAAUACAGAUUAAAUUAGGAUAUUUUAAAUUUCAUGGACCAAUUAGUAAAUUUGGGAAUAAUUUGAGGAUGAUUGAUUAAAUUUAACCUUCCUAAAAAAGUUUAGGCUGUAAUUAAAAAAAACGAGGCGCGUGAAGAAAAGAGGCGAAAGUGAGAAAAAAGGGAAGGUUGAACAAGUUGUCGGCAUAUUCUGCUAACUCGCCGUGUGACUUGGCUGUUUUUUCUAUUCUAAUUUCAAAAACUUCCUUUUUACUUAAAUUCCCCUAUUGAACCGCUCGCAUGGGGCCCAACUGGUGUUCGUCCCAUUUCCCAAUAACAUCUCGCCACGUUUCUUUUGUGCCCUUUAUGCGCGUUGAUAGGCACUCCAACGCAUGGCUGGCUAUCCACAUGAGUAGCUUCUGACAUCUAGUGUCAAUCUCACCCGACAACUCUCUUCCCUUACUCCCUUCAUUCCCCGCGUCAAUCGCACACUCUCGUUAUAAAAUUACCCCACUACCCUUCCAAUUCCCCCCCUCUUAUUUGGCCAUUAUAAAUUAAAUACUGUUGCUGCUAAUGGAUUUUUUUAAUUAACUGUUUAAGCAUCACGUUGCGUAUGUUUGAAUUAAUGUAUUGUAAAAUUGUGGUUAAAUUCUACUCUUAGUCUCUGUAUUUUGUGAAAGUUAUAGAUUUAGUCAUUAUACUUUUAUUUGAUGGAUUUUAGUUUCUCGAUUUUUUAAAAUUUUAGUCUAGACCUAAACAGUAGAAAUUAAAUCCAUUUAGUUAAAUUCAAUUACUAGUCUUUCACCAUGCGUACAAUUGUAGAUUUAGUACAUUUUCUCUAAUUAGAUCAAUCUAAGUCUCUAUACUUUUUAAAUUUUAAAAUUGUAGUCUUAACGUAAAUAACAGUCGAUAAGUCAUUAACUGAAAUUUUUUAGUAAUAUGUGGAAAUAAUAAACUGACAUAAUAUUACACAUAUGAUAAUAUGUUUUUAAUGUUUGAAAAACACAUAGAUUAAAAAUGACCAAAUAAAAAGUAUAGAGAUUAAAUCCAUGACUUUUUCUAAGUACAGGGACUAAUAGCAAAAGUUCACCUAAAGUUGUUACUUUGGGUUUUUAUCUACCUAAUCUUCACGUGUUUAGCUUUGAUGGUUUUUUUUUAUUAUUUAAGGAUAAUAUUGGAUCAAAUUUGCAUAAAUAAAUCAGAUAGAUUUAAGUAUCAAAUUUAGAUUAAAAAAAUUAAAAAUGGCAACGUGGCGGCUACCAAGUGUAUGGAUGGAAUAAUAUAUAUUAUAGAAUUUUGGCCUAAUGGCGGCUGUGGGAUAGGUACCUAUAGUUCACAUGAUAAAAUCCAUUUUAUCGAAUCGAAUUUAUAAUUAUUUUUUAUAAUAUAAAUAAAUCUUUUUACACUAUAGUAAUUAAAACAAUUUUAAAAUGUUAAAAUAUAUAUUUUAACAAACUCGAUUGGUAUGAGUAUUGUUGCUAAUGUAGGAGGAUGUGUGUUUGAGUGCGCUGAAGCACAAUAUCCUCUUAUUUAUGGGUUGAGAGGGGCUAUUGUUGGUUCUAAGCAUUAUGUCAAUAAGAACAGAUAUAAAAUAAUUUUCUUGUCAAACCUCAAAAAUAGGGUUUUUAUCAAUUGUUUUAAUUUCGAAAUAUUAAUGGCUUGUGGUAUGCGUGCAAGGGCAAAAUUAGAAUUUUUUUUAAGGCGGCCGAAAUUAAAUUAUAAUUUUUAUCAUAGCAAAAAUGAAAUAUUAUCAUCUUAAUAGCUUAUAUCUUUAUAAUUUUUAAAUGAUUAAAUCAAAUUUUUAUAUUUUUAAGGGGGUCAAAGUGUAAUUUUACCUUUACUAAUUUAAAAUUUUAAAAGACCUAAAUGAAAAAUUUCCAUUUUAACCUAGCUUAUAUCCUUUUCAAUACAUAGAACAUUUCAAAUAUGUAGGGAAAAAGAAAAAAAAAAAAGAAUAUCAAUGUUUUUUUUUAAUUUUCUUAAAGAAAAUCAAAUCUAAAAUUUGCAGACAUCGUCGAUUGAGUUUAACUUAAUUGCAUGAGUAUUGUCGCCAAUAUAGGAAGACGUGAGUUCUAGUGCGCUGAAGCGCAUUAUACUCCUAUUUAUGGGUUGAAGAAGGGUUAUACAUAGUUCUAAGUAUUGUGUAAAAAAAACAUGCAUCUGGGUUCACCAUAAUUCAAUUAUGCUUGUUGACCAUACAUCGAACCAUGUUUUUAGCAUUAUUCCCUCCUUCUUCCCCAUCAAAUGGACAAUGGAAUUCUCAUGUUUUUGCAGUUCUGUAAUAAGUCAACAAAAGAAUGUGAUUCCAUACCACGUGCUUUUGUUUAGUCACAAUAAGAUUGUUUUAUCUCUUCAUCAAACAACUCGCUAAGCUGAUCUCCAACAGUCCUACGACAAUAUUUGAUAGAAUCUCUAUUCAGAUAAAAUGGACACAUACAUGAAUAACCUUAUUGAGUCCGAGUAGUCACGUACACACCGUUGCAUCAAACUACAUAGAUCAUACCAUAACUCGUAACUCCAUCGAAUUAAAAGAACCCACAUAUAUAAAUCAAGGCCUUGACCGGAGAGACCAAGCAGCUUCACUACACCUGUUCCUGCUAAAAUUAAUGGUAGGUUUGGAUGGGCGGUGCGUUUACCUGCUGUUAAUGUAAAAACAGCAGUGACGGUGAGAUUAGAUACUGUAGCGUGAGACAAAAAGUAAGUUAAAUGUACAGCACCGCAUCCAAUCGUCUAUCCAAACCCACCUUAAGUGGCCUUUAUUACCAUUCCAUUAGUACUUAAUUUCUUAAAUAUUAUACGACUCUAAGCUUAACCGGGUGAACCGUUCCCAAACUUCAUAUCUAAAGCAUAUAUCAAUAAUGAUCAAUCAUUACACUGAAAUUACAAUCAAUAAUUACGAGCAUUGAAUUAAAUAACCUAAACCCAACUAGCUAAUUAAUCUAAAUAUGAAAGGUUUGUAGAGGGACUAUUGACAAGUCCAAAAGAAUGUGGCUAAAAGUCUAAAGAAAACCAGCUUCAACAGUUUGAUAGUCAAGCUUAGUUCCAAUGUUCAAAGCUGAUGGGCUAUGUUUUACUUGCACUUUCAGUUGGAAGGACCAAAAAGUUUCAGUUGGAACGAGGCCAGAUUUUUAAUUAAAUUCGGAGUUAAGUCGAGUUAAAUAUACAAAUAGAAAAAAAUUGAACCCAAUAUCUUACUCAAGAGAUAUUGACCUAUUUACUAUUUCACUUCAGCAUUUAGUGAUAUUUAACUUAAUAAAACCUACCCCAACCUCCACCCGAUAUACCCCAAACAUAACUCAACCUUGACCCUAACGAAUCAGGUUGAAUCAAAACCUAUUGAAUUUUAGGGUAUUUUUCAUCCCUAAUCAAGUUUAGUUGAGAAUUAUAGUAAAACCUUAUCAUCACAUCAUCAUAUCAUCAUGGUGAGAAUCUGACAAGAUCAUCAAUCAAAACUAAUUAUGCUUUAGACUUAUUGAACAUGGCGUGAAAGUGAAACCUAAGCCCAUUGAGUCAGAAAAGACUGAUUGCUGAAAAACGAUAAACCCUAAUAGCAUUGCUUAAGUGUGAUGGUGAUUACACACGUUGAUUCGAUGCACUAACUCCCACUGAUUUUAGUGGUGCCACUCUGUUUCAACUAUCAGGCUCCCCCCACUAACCAUUAGCCAGCCGCCAUUGCCCCUCUCUCUCUUUCUCCUGUUUCACUCUAUGUAAUGAAAAAAACACAGUUCCACCAAACAAUAUUAGAAUAAUGUUUCAGUUUUGACGUUACGCUAAAUCAUUUGCUUGCAAGUUCUGCAACAUUUUAUAUUUGGUCCUUUGGGUUGUGCUUCGAUCAUUAUCACAAUAUCACCUUCUACUGUAUCAUAAAACAUCCAACUAACACCCACAUCAAACACAUAAAAUUGUAUACAUGUUUCAGAUACCAAAUUUCAAUUGUAUUAAAGGUAAAACAAGCUCAUUAUAUCUUAAUAUCUUCAAUAAACAAAUGUCAGUUUUUUUAGGUAGAAAUGGGUAAUGGUUAAGCCAAAAAUUUUAUGUUGAGAUCAAAAUUAAGUUACAAAAAAUUUGAGGGUUUAAAAUUCAACUUUAUGAUUUUUAAGGUUAGGGUUUCUUCGUAAACUGAAAAUUAGGCUUCAUUUUCAACAUGAAGAAUAAUUAAGACAUCAAUGCUCCAAUACAGGUGUAAAAAUGGAUGGAUAUAUUACUGUUGCUGAUAUAAGAAUGUGGUGCAAAGGCUGAACACAGUUCAGUCAAUGAAGAUUGGUAAGAGAGAUCGGCUCUUUCAAGAGAAGUCUUUCAAGUAUUAUUUGUUAUGCAAUCGAUUGAGUCCCCAACAAUUGAAGGUAUUGUUAUGGUUUUGUUUCUUGUGCUCUACUGAGAGUCAAUAUGCCGUGACCAAUUGCUUUAAGAGGGUUCACAGAAGCGAGAGUACCUCAUACAUACGUGGGCGCAUGACCAUCUACCAAGGGAAGAACCCCUAACCUAUCUCAUAUAAAUUACGUUUUAGGAAAGUUGGUAGCACUAGCCCAAAUGGUACCACAGUUACAGGUUAAGUAAGCUUUAAGCCUAUGUAAGCUCUAUAUUUAUUCAUGUGACCUAUGCUAACACUUCCCCUUAAACUUUGCGGGUCUACUAAUUGAGGUGCUAUGAGUUGACCCCUUAUACCACAUGGUGCUCCUUGAUAGGUUCACCUAUCACUCAUUGAUUUCUAGUUAGAUCGACUAUGUGUGUGAAGUGACCAUGUCUUAUAGGAGUUGUUGAGUUGUUAGAGGUAAUGGAUUUAGGUACUACUAAACGGAACAAAUCUUGUGCCAAAAGAAGAGAUGACGGCGAAGGUGAUGGAUCCAGUGGAGUCAAAUGAAGUCUCCGGCGGAGUGUCUGUAACAAGUAUACAAUCAUCCAUUUCGCUCCAAAGUGGGAUCAAAGCUUUUCCCUUUUAGUUUUAAGGAUACAUAAAUUUCAUUAUAUUUGAUACCCUCAAAAUCUAAGAUUUAAUCAAAGAUGGGGUACAUAAAUGGAUAAAAUACAGUAUACAAAGAUGAUAUUGCUCUAUACUGAGGGCAAACAGCCUUUCCAUUUUUGCUCUAACAAUACAUAAUUAUCAUAUUACAUUUGAUAUUUGCCCAGAAUCUAAGUUGUAAUCAAAUAUAUACAAAAGCAUCAUGAUCCACAUCUCAAUUUGCAAAAAGAUAAAUGAAUCAUCUCCGUUUUCUCCCCUUUUUGGUAUUACCACCCAACAAAUCCCAAGAAACUGAAAAACCAAACAAAGAAUCACAUGUCCAAACAUUAGAAUUUAUAAACACAUGACAAAAUUAUUACAAAAUACUCAGUACCCAAUUUAUAGUUUUAGCAGGUGAUGCUUGUGAAGCCAAAAAAUUUCAUCCAAAAAACAGAAAGUUGGGAAUUUUCUUUUUUUACUCAAAGAUCAUUCCUUUUGUAAAAUAAAGCUUACCCAGAUUUAUUGCAAAUUGGGACAUGGUAUAAUUGCGAGAAAAUUAUAGAAAUUGUUGAAAAAAAUGAAACGAACCUGAGAGAUCGAACAGCGAGAUGUUGAGAAAGAACAUGGAAGAAGAAAUUGGCACCGUGGAGGAACACCACAACUCCCGUACACCCCAAUACAAAAAGCUCCAUCAUCAUUGAAAAAUAAUCAAAGCAAAGCAAGGAUCCCUUCUUUCUCAACAAAGAAUAAAAAAACAGAGCACGAGAAAUCCCGAAAUACAGUGAAGGAGAAGAGGCUGAAAUGCUUAUAAAUUGGACUUUGUUUCGAUGAUGAUUAUAUAAUUAAAAAUUACUAAUAAUAGGAGUGUUAUUAAAUUAUUAUUAAUAAUAAUUAAAAAAAAAGUGUUUUUUGGGUGUCAGAGUAUGAUCAUAUCCAAUUCCUAUAAUAAUGACUUUCUCCACUUUCUUACAACACGAAAAGGAGACGUGAUUGGGUGAUUGAAACUGUUUGGACGGCGGAUAUUUUUUACAAUGUUUUUACGAGCGUGUUUGGCCGUGUGAUUUUUCGUGGCGUACUUGACAAUGGUGUAGCUUAUGGGGGAAAAGGACAGAGAUAAAAGAAUGGGUGAAUUUUUUGAUAGGUCCCUCUAUUAUAGGGAUCUGAUCAAAUUAGUCCCUGUACUGUUAAAAAGACUAAUUGAAAUUGUUUGUUCUUUUAUCAUUUGUUAGUAAAAAUAGCUAACUGUUAACUACUCUUAUUAAAAUAGUAGAGGGAUUAAAUUGAUUCAUUUAAUAAUAAAGGGACUAAUUUGAUACUGUUCCUAUAACAUAGGGACCCCCCAAACAGUUUAACCAUAAAGAAAAGAGAGAGAGUGAGUGGAAUUGAUUGGGGAAAAUGGGGAGUACUAUAAUAUGGUCUGCCUAACUAUCGUUGUGGGUAAUCGUUCAUAGCCACAACCUAGCGACCGACCCGCCGCCACCAACCGCUGGGGUUGCACUCCUAGCUGGGUUUGGUUGCACUUUUUUUACUUGGGGCUGUUGGCAUUUGCAAGUGGCCCCCCCUGCUUUAAUAUAUAAUUGGUUGUUUAAAUUUUUUUUUAUCAUUGUUAACCGUUAAUUAUUCCUACGAGACAUCUCUUCUAAUUAAUAUUUUUUAUAAUCGGAUUGGUGAUUAAAUUGAUUAGAUCAUCGGUUCUAGAUCCGUUUAGUUGAUUUAGUUUAAUUGAAUAAAUAAUUAAAAAUCAUCAAAAAUAUUAAAAAUAAAAAACAUUAUUCAAUCGACCCGCAUCGAUUCACCUCAUUUUUCGAAUUGAUGCGCCAAUUGAUUUUCAAUCUGACCGACCAUUUCGGUCUAAUUCCAAAAACAUUGCUUCUAACUCAUUAUGGCGACAUAGAUUGUGUGUGAGUGCGUGUCGUAUGGGAUAUUUUUAAGAAAAAUCUAAAAUAUCAUUUCAACUAGAAGCAUAAGGUUAAAAUAUUUUGUUAGUCUCUAUAUUUUGAUAGAAUUUGAGAUUUAAUCCUUAUACUUUUUAUAGAAUAUGAAAUUUAGUCCUUGUACUUGAAAGGUUGAAAUUUAAUUCCUCUUUCUUUCUAAUCUAAAUAUCCCAAUCCAAUUAUUAAUAUUGUCAGAAUUUUCUAUAAAAAAAAAUUCUCAACUUGGCACAUUGAUUAAGUUGUUUUCAUGCAAAGCGAUAUAUGAUUGACAAAAGAUAAAUAUGUUAAGUUAAUAAAUUUUGACAUAAACUAUCAACGACAAUAAUAAUGUGACUGGGAUCUUUAAAUUGAAAAAGUAGAAGGAUUUAAUUUUUAACUUCAAAAUACAGAAGCUAAAUCUUAAAUUCUAUAGAAUUACAAGGACUAAAACCAUAUUUUAACCAAAACAUAUGACUAAAUUAUACCAAAUUACAAAGAUCAAAUUAUAUGAAAAUGAAGUAUAAUAAAGGACCAAACCCCUUUGAUCUAUAAAUUAUAUCGAAAAAGUAUUUUGUUUAAUAUGGUUUGUCUUUUUCUUUUUGCCAAGAGACCCCUUCCAAUAAGAACAUUAUCCCCUUAGUCUUGUGGGUUAAUAUGAUCUCUGUGAGUCUUAAUUCAUUCUUGUAAUUAAUUAAUAUACAAAAUGAAGUCGGUGGCUUAUUAUAAUAUACACCCCCCUCUUCUUGGGUUUUUUUUUCUUUUUUUAUCAAUGAUGAGAUGAGAUUCCAUUAUUUUAAAAAAUGGUGAGAUAAGAUGAGAUUUAAUUCAUUAUCAUCCUCAACAUUCUAAUAUAGAUUGCUGUAUGAGAUGGGUGGGAUAUAUAUAUAUAUUUAACAAUAAUCUCAUUGUAGAUUUUUAUUUUAUAUGUUAUUUUUUAUUAUAUAUUCUAAUAUAUAAUGCGCUUAAGUGCACUCGAACCUGCGUCUUCCUGCACUAGCAACAAUGCCAAUGUCAACCGAGCUAAGACUCAAUCGACCUAUUUUUUAAAAAAAAUUAACAUUAAUCUCAUUAUAAGUUCUUAUUAUAUUUGCUCCUUUUUAUAGAAUACAAUGCCUAGAACUACACAUAAUCCCUCCUCAAUAUUUAAAUAGAAAGAUAAUUCAGCGCACUUGAACCUAUGUUCUCUUGCAUUGACAAUAACACCAAUAUCAAUCAAACUAAAACUCAAUUGACAUGGGUGGAAUAUAUUUAAUUGCAGUAAGACCAUUAAAGUAAUACAUCAUUCCCUAAUUGAACCUCACGUUUUUUCUGUUCCACUUUGUAUAAGAAUGUGUAUUUUAGCCACACCAAUAUAACGUGACAACCCAACAAACUAAUCCAUGUUAGAUGUGAGAUUGCCAUUGCCAGUAGGUGGCACGUGAGGGUUUUGGUGUAGUAGUUGUUUGCCUAUAAGAAACUCGAUGUCUCUUAAAUAAGAUCUCGAGUUUAAAUUUGGUGGGUGAAAAAAUAAGUUCGAGGAUACUUGUUCCUUUUUAAAUAGAUCUAAUCUCUCUUACAAAUUUCUCUUAGUGUCAAAUCUCACAUUCAAGAAUUUAAUAUGAAUUUUAGUCCUUGAGCUAUUAUUAGAUUCAUUUUGGUAUUUAUACAUUUUGUUGAUCUACCUUAAUACUUAAACAUGACACAAUGUCAAAAUAUCACAUCUUCGAACCUUUUACUUUUGCCAAGCCCAAAAACCAAAAUGGGCCUAAUUACAAAGUUCAAGGACUAAAAAGUUAUAUUAACUCUUUACAUAUCGGAAUCCAUUGAUUAAACCCAAGGUUGUUUUUUUUUCAAUAAGCAUGAUUAAUGUUGCAUGGUUUUAUGAUAAAAAUAGACUAUUUCUUAUAAUUUUUAAAGUUAAAAAAUCUUAAUCUUAGUAAGCUUCAAAACAUGACUUGAGACAGAGCGAGAGAGAAAUGAGAUGACGUUGAGAAAACGACAGGUUAUUUCCUCACAUUUUUAGGUCAAAUUCAUUUAUCAGUCCCUAUACUAUGCAUAGAUUAUAAAUUUAAUGCAUGUAUUUUUCAAAUUAGUCAGUUUUAGUCCUUUUAUAUUUAAAAUCUUAAAAUUUCAAUCCUAAACCAAAUCGCCGUAGCAGUUAAAUCUGUUAUAACAAAUUUUACCAUGGGUCUUGUAAGUUCAAAAUGUAUUUUAUUAGUUCUACUCUAACAUGCAUCAUUAACUCACUCUGAAGCAUCCAGAUAUCAAUGCUACUUAAAACUAAAGACACCUGGUUUUGUUCUCUAAAGCAUACUAUCCAUGGGGAACUACUUUGAUCAUAUUAACCCACAAAUGAUAUUAAAGAGCUUUAAUUAUUCAAGGAAGAAGAGACAUUAAACCUGGUGAUGAUAUAUUUUUUGAACUUAUAAGAACAGGAAAAUUGAAUGUAUGUUUUUAUCUGAUACCUACUUCCAGAUGCUCACAGAACAAAUGUUGGGUAAUAACAUCAGAUAUUUCAGAUUCGUCCAAGAAGAAUACAAUGCAUCAAGUCCUACUAGGUUGAUCGGAAUUUUUCACGGAGAUGAAUAGCUCCGCAUCCCAACCACAAUCAUCCAUCUACAGUACAAAAAAAAGAGGAAAAAAAAGGUGUAUGGUAUUAGAAAUGUAUUUACCAGUUUAUCCACACAAAAGAAGAUAUUCAACAGUAUGGUUCUCAUUUUGGCUGCAUUUUAUGAAGGACUCAGGUCAAAUAUCUCUUAAUUGACACACGAAGAAAACAACUAGAAGAUAUCACUCUAGGAUGGUUAAAGGUUCAAAAUCUAGGGCUUGGGAAAGGCCAAGUGUGGAAGCAUAUGCCCAAUUCAUCAAUUUCCAAGAACUAGAAUAUCCUGAGAUUAUAAAUGUCUCUUGAAAUCACAAGUUAGUCAAGAUGUGAAUGAAAUUCAAUAUCUCUGGUUUAUCUAACUGUAACAAACAUUGAUGAAAAUAACCAAAUAUCAUAUUCAUCAGCUGAUCCUUCCUUUGAAUCACAACACCUUCAAACGCACCUAUUUAUGGUUUUAAUUCCUUACAAAUUGUAGACUGAUAAGAAUGUCACUCAUCAACUUGUUAAAGUUAUGAACAGGGGAAAGCAUCUAAAGACCCUACUAAAAGCUUUAUUCCACCACCUUGUCUUAAGAGUGCAUUUAUCAAAACCUCUGCCCGAACUCUCCGAUAUUCAUCAUACAUCAUCAUUGCAAUCUGAGUGAAACAACAAAUCAUUAUUGGUCUUAUAUCCACCUUAUACUGGCAUGAAUAAGAACGUAAAUAAGGUUUAGUUCACGUUAAGUUAUAACACUUACUAACAGCUGAAUAACAGUCUCAGCUCAAAUAUGCAUAAGCAAAGCCUAUAUCAUCUGAAAGUAAGCAUCAGAUUUCAUGUAUUUUUCUUUGAAAAGUUAUAACUAAGUUGCAUCACUGAGAGUCUUUUAACCCUUUCCCAUCCAUACCAUAGGUAAACAAGUAAGCAAUUCUAAACAUUCAGAUAACCAAACAAAAUGACAAACUACAACACACAAUUCACUUUUCAGAAGCUUAACAGUAAAUUCAAAAUCAAUCAGUUAACUGAAUUAAAAAUAUAUUUAGCAAGAUUUCAUCUGAUGUUUCUAAAGCCAUGAAAUUGCAGGGCAUAGCAUUCAAUCUCUUGCCAUUUCACAAUUAUGAUCUCCUCAAGCACUGAAGAGAAAUUACAGUAGAAGUUCCAAAAAGUUUAACAAUGAAAAACUAAUGCAAGUCACUCCCUCUCUGUGCUUGCCCUUCAUCUAGUCUGGUUUUGCCCUACAAAAGGAGAAAAUAAUUUACAUUCUUCCAUUAGGCAGAGAGCAAUUACUACCUAUCCAAAAAGGGGAGAGAAAGAAAAGAUGAAAGAGGGAGUACAAUUUGCUACAUUUGGCUAUUGUUUUUGAGUGGUUGAUGCUAGUCUUAAAGUCGGCCGAUUUUGCUUAGCAGAUACACCCUACUUUCCCUCAUAAUUCUAGUUCUAAUGAAAUUUACAACAAUAUAUCUCUUUCCUUCUUGGUAUUUAAUUGCCAAUACUGAAGCUUAUCACUGGGAAACCACAAAGUUUAGGAAUAGCAAUCAUAAAAAAAAAAAAAGGUUUGAAUAUUGUCAUACGAGUGCACACACUUUUAACUCAAAGGAUCAAACAUGAUUUUCUUUAAUUUUGCUUCUAUGAGUAGGAUCAAAUACUUCUACUAGGAACUUUAACUUUGACUCGAUGAGGCAUUAUAUCUUAAUUCAAUUUCCAUUGAUUCAUUAAAAAUAAGCUAGAAACUUUGAAUCCUUUAAAAUAAUUCAACAGAUCAAAAUGAGAAGGAAAAAAGAAAGUGGAUAGGAAUACCUUCAGCGGUCCAAUUGGAUCUCCGGCGAGAAACAGAAAGCAUGGAAGUCAACAAAGCCGAAGCAGUGGCUGUGUGAUAAGGUAGCAGCGUUUCCACACAGCAGCUCAUCUCCACCGGUGACCUUUUCAAAUUCAUUUUAGAACUAUACUGCUAAUUUAUUUCAUAAACGAGUACAAGAGAAGAAUUAAUAAUAUCCAUUACCUGAAAAUGCGAGCAGGAAACGAGUUUUGCUUAGAGAUCCGAAAGGGCGAGCAAGCGGGUCGUGGCAUGGACUUGGUUGCACCGGCGAGUCUCGCGGCCGCGGUCGCUCGGGUGGCAGCGGAACGGAGGACGGACCUGGCGGCGGACAUUUUUGGUGGAAGAUUUUGGAGGGUUUUUGUGUUUUGGGGCUGAAGGGUUUUAGGCUUUCGAGGGGUUUUUGCAAAUCGGACUGUUUUUCUGUGUAUGUGAUCGUAUGGUAAAGCUGUUGGUUCUUGCAAAUCUAACUCGACACGUGGAUAGCUCUUUUUUUCUAAAAAAAAAAAAAAAGCCCAAAGGGCAAAACUAUAUACAACUAAGAAAUAUCAUUCAACGCAUCUACUGAUGGAUGAAAUCCAGAUAAUUCAAACCAAAUUCAAAAGUAACAUUUUUAUCCAUCAAUCAAUGUGCAAAAGCAAAGCUAACAACAUCAAAUGAACCACAAACACUCAAGUCCUCACUAACAACACAGACUCUAGGAUAAUUCUGCAGAAACCCUUCUCAAUGGCCUUCUGAACAGCACAAGCUAAAGCGACAGCCUCAGCUAAAGGAGUGCCAAAAGCUUCAGCAAUCGAAUAGGUGAAACCAGCUAGCACCAGUCCUUCAUGGUCAUGAACAAUGCCUCCGCAAGUAGCACAUCUUGUCUUCGCAUUCCAUGCUGCGUCAACAUUAACGGACGUCGAGGUAACAAUGGAGCAUAAAGAAGGUUAUGCACCAAGAACUCGUGAUGGAAGGAUCAAGUUCUUAACAUUACAUCUUGAGGGGAAGAAACUCGCCCCUGAUGCAUGACCUAAUUCCUUGCCUCCCAUAGUUGCCAGAGAAGCACAAGAAAACUAGUGAAGGCUUUUUUAUCCAAUAUCUUCCCCAUAGUCGUCUCGAGCCAUUCGAUCACAUUGUAGAAAUACAAACAAAGCAAAUCAUUAUAAAUACUACAUAAUGUUAAUGCCUCCCUCGAGUUCGCCUCUUGGGAAAACAUGUCAUAUCUCUCAAUCAUAGGAAGGAUGUCAUGGCCAAGCGUCCACCCAAAAAGUUGAACUUUUGAAAAGGUUUUUACCCUCUCAAGUUCCUUCUAUAAGAUUCAACGAGGUCCUCAAACUAUUGCACAAAUUCUAACAAAUGUCCCCAACUUUUGAAUAUCUGGUAUGUUUUUUAGGUGAUUCUAACAAAUGUCCUCAAACUAUUGCAUAGUUUCUAAUUGGUCCCUUAAUUUCAAAAUGAAAUGAUUAAAUCUUCAAAAGUAUUUGUAAUUGAAUUAAUAAUGUUCUUCCAUCAUUCUAACCUUCAAUAUAGGCAUUAAAUGUCUGUUUGUAUUUAAUGUGAAGCAUAUUUAAAACAUUUAAAGUAAAUUAUAAACAUAAAUAUACGUAUAGCAUGAACUAUUUGAAUCUAACAUGAUAAAAAAAAUGUAAUGCCAAUAACAUUUAUGAUAUAUAUAUUUUGAUAAUAGAUUAGAUUCAAGCAAAGUUGGUCAAUAAGUACAAAUAUAUUCAACAAAAGAACAAGGGAUUCUUCUUGUAAGGAUAGUUUGCACUUUGGUAGAAGGAAAAACAUUGGAUGAUAAUUUGUGAAAUGUUAUAGUUCAUGGAGAUUAAUCUAUUCAAAGUUUCGUGGUUUUCACUUUUAAUAAUGUCGUUUUUAAGAUUUAAAUUUGAGUUUUUCCUUUGAGAAUGCAAUGUCUCUUGUCAUUACACUCUGCCACUUAUUGGUUGAUGGUGGAUUAUGAAAUGAUCUAAGCUUACUUUCAUUUACUUUGUUAUCUCGAAAUCUUUGAUACAUCAAAAUAACAAUUUCUUCAAUGACAUCUAUUUAAAAGAUCUCAUUAUAGUGAAAUUCGGUAGGAUUCUUUUAAAUCAAUGGUUGAAAUGAAAAGUGAGAAAAAAAAUCAAUCCACCGUUUUGCAUUAGAAGCAUGAGUUUAUCUUUUAACCAAUUUAAUCAAUUUCAACACAAAAAGGAGAGAAACUGGUUUUCAAAGAAAAUCAAUGUAUUUGAUAACUGAUUUAACAAGUUUCCAAUCAUCAGCACAAUUUUACCCGUUUUUGACAUUACUUGAUCAAACGACUACAGUCUACUUAUUAUUGUCUUUUGACAACAACCAAUAAUUUUAAGAAAAUACCGUAAGAUUUCACUAUAAUAAAAUCUCACAUUAGACAUUACCCAAUUUAUUGAAUGAAAAUCCAAUUUUUUUUUUUAAAUGAAUCUCUAAGCCCAAUUCAGUUUGCUUUUUAGUUUCUGCCUCUCUGAUGUUAUGAGGUAGCUUGAAGGCCCCAAAAUGGAUGGGUAAUGAUCAACUGGACUCUGAAUGCUGAGCCAACAGCCCUUUGGGCAUUUCACUGUGUUUAUCCACUUUGUUUGGAUUUAUUCGCAAUAGUAUUGUCGUUUUGAAAUAAGAAAAGCAAAGCGAUUCCAAAAAGAGUCAAGGGCCUGGCCCCGGAUAAAAUGGUUUUAUUCCAAUUUUAGACCCUCUUAAAAAUUAUCAAUUCAAUUUAACUUUUUAUCAUGAAAUUCAUUUUUUCAUCUUGUUCCCUCUAAUAAAAAAUUCCCGGCGUUGCCCUUGAAGAAAAAGGCUGGCAGAACACCGCGAACUCAGCCGGUUAGGGUUUAGAGUAAAAUUGAGAUAAGAAAUAUAAAAAUUGAAUCAAAUUUUACCCCGCCCCGUCUACGCGUCAAAGUCCCUACAACUUGACCUAAAAAUGGAAGAUUGAGGAACAUGCAAUUACAGGUUAACAAAUAUCUAAAACUGAGGGACAUUAAAUAAUUACCAUGUGACUUUCUCCCCUUCCGAAAUGGAGCAAAUUGCAAACAAUAUAGCCAUCAUUAUAUGGCCAAUAUACCAUCAGGAAAUGCCCUUAUUUUAUGCCAACAUCAUAGGGCAAUGAAUCUCGUUUUCUCACCAGCCUGGCAACAAGUUGCUGUCCCUUACUUCCCAAUUCAUCAAAUUAUGAUUUUGAUCCUCAAUCUUCCUCAAAAUAUUUAAGGUUUACUUCCAAUAAGAUAUAAUUUGAUCUUUACUUUUAUAUGGUCAUUAAUUUAAUUCAAUCAUUUUUAACUUGUAUUUUGCUCCAUUUAUUUAAAAAAAACAGACAAAUUAGCCCAUGUAUAAUGUAUGUUAGAUCAAAUAAUAAACUGGUCAUUUCUGUUAAAAAUUGCAUUCAUGUCUAUUGUUAAAAACUGACGUGACUGACUAAAUAGCCAGACAAUUUCAUGUUGCGCGCCAUAUGUGCCUUAUAUUGAUAUACAAUGAUCGAUUUUUAACAAUAAAACUGGAGAUAAUUUUUUUAAUGGAAGAACUAGUUUGUUCUCUAAUCUAACGUAUAGAAAUUAAUUUACCCAUUUUUUGAGUAAUUGAGGUCAAAUACAAUUUGGCUUAUAAAAGAACCUCCAUAAUACUUUUAUCGACCAAAGCAUGUCAAAUUAAAGUAAAUAAAUUAAAUUUCAAAUUUAGAUAUAGUAAGAUGAUCAAGAUCAUAAUUUGGUUCUUCUCAAUUAGAUUUUUCUUUUUUUAUCAACUACAAUAUAAAUAAAAAUGUCUGGAUUCUAUCAUCUAAAUACGUUUCUCUAAACAAAUUUCUUCCAAUCAGAUGGACUUAUUAUUAUUUAAAAUGAAUUUCAUUAUAGGUUUUUAGUAUAUCUGUUCCUUUUGAUGCCAUGCUUAGAACUAUUUAUAGGCAAUCUCUAAUCCUUAAAUAAGAGAACAAUGCGCUUCAACGCACUCGAACCCACAUCUUCCAGCACUGCUAACAAUAUUAAACUAAAACUCAAUCUGCAAUAAAAUGGAAUUACUAAAUCAGAUAAAGUAGGUGAUGAAACCCUAGCUCAUGGUCAGCUAUUGUCCCCUUUUUAACUUCCAUUUCAAGCAAAGUAGACCAGCAGAUGGGAAAAUUAAUUUCAUUUCAUAACAUUAUGAAACCAUAUCAAACCCACCACCUUUCUUUCCAAGGCUAAUCUGACCUAGCCUCCUUGUAUUUAUUAUGACUUGUUGGUAUUAUGCCCUCAUGUAUUUUCUUUUUUAACCAGAAUUUUGUUAAUAUUUGCAUUAAAAUGUUGGGAAAAUAAAAAGAUCUGGGUACAGCUAGAAUCAAUGGUGAGAGGUAGAGGGAACUGAAAUAAUGUGUGGGUGGGUGUAAUCAUUUGUUUCUUUACAGUACAGCACCAGUAUUUUACAUCUCUCUUCAAAUUGGUCCAUUUCUUUUUAAAAUUAACCAUUCAAUUCCCAGCAUCAUGAGUGCUCCCACGAUCAUAUGCUCCUAUUUUCUCACAUUGGGUUCCAUAUUAAGACACUGUACUGCUAGUUAGGGCACCCUGGUCCCAAAAAUAAUUACUAGGCUUAGCCUCACACUUUUGAAGUUUAUCAAUAUAUUAUAUUAAGGUCAGAACCUAACCCUUUAUAAAAACUAUAGUAUUAAACAUUAAUUCCAUGGUGACCAUAUAUAAAAUAUAGACCUACACAACAUUAGUCUUUGUAUGGCUAUAUAAGUUCAUAUAUGUAAGUCAAAAAGAAAUUGGACCCAAAGCUUUAGAACACGAAUAAAGUCAUCAUUUAUCCGUCAUUCACGGAGAAGAUAAUCCAAUUCAAAUGGAUGAUUUUUCACUUUCCUUUCCUUUUUAUUAUUUAGAGUUUUUUAAUUAUAUGUUUCUUUCUAAAUUCUUUAAUUUUGAAUUGAUUGAGUAUUAGUUCGAUUGACAUUGACAUUGUUGUCAGUAUAGGAGUACGUGGGUUCGAGUGCAUUGAAGCACAUUAUUCUCUUAUUUAAAAGUUAAGGAGGGACUGUGGGUAGUUCAUAAUAUUGGAUUCAAAAGAUUAGAUAUAAUAAUACUAAUCAAUAGUGCAAGGGGUAAAUUGCUAAUCGUAAAAUUGCUUAUUUUUCUUAUAAUGAAAAGGGAUUAAAACCUAAUUUGCAUAAAACGAGCAAGUAGAGCAAACGAUCCAAAGGAAAUCUCAAUAAAUGGGAUUCUUAAUUGCAUUAUUUCAUUGCUUAAUUCUGGGCAAUUUGUGACUUGCCUAAGAAUGAUGAUAAAGGAUAAGAGCUUGAGAAAGGAAAGUCAUGAUAUUUACUUUUUCAUUGUCAUGGAUUUCAAAGUCCUACAAAAUGUACACUAUUAUACAAUUAGUCCUUUUAAGUAUCAAUUUCACAUCUUUUGACUGCUAAAUCACAUUUAUUUCAUUCGGUGGAAAUAAUAGGAAACCAAAUCAAAAAGUGCCUUACUGUCAAAGGCAUGCACAUGUAUUUAUAUUUAUUUUCAGCUAUUGAAUGGACCGCCGUAUAAAAAGCACCAUCAAUGUACAUCAACAGUCCCUAUUCAUAUCUCUUUACCACAUGCCAAAUGGGUGUGUAUUUAUACCAUUUAUGACCCAUGUUAUUGACAAUUGUUAUCACCAUCCAAAGAUAAGAUAUCAUCAACUAUGGUAGCUAGCUAGUAAUUUGUGUUGCUUGAUUUGAGAAUGGAUUGUAUCAAAUUGAGAUUUCAUUUUAUCUGUGUAUCCCUUUUUAAUAGGAGAAUGAUAAAAAAUUAUAUUUUUUUUCUAAAAAAUUCAAAUCUAAUUAAAAAUACUAAAAAUCAGGAAAAAAUAUUAAUUUGUUAUUCUCUUAUUGAAAAAUGAUAGAGAUGAGAGAGAAUUACAGUUUUAUACCAUCCUUGAAAUUGAAGAGAAUCAUUUAUAUAUAUAUAUGAAAUCGAAUAGACAAAGUACACAAUCUCAAAGAUCUUUACGAAGAUGUAUAUAUAUAUGAAAACUACUAGAUAGAAUUCAACUUUUUAAUAGGCUUUGUCAUGGGUUCAUAAAACAAGAAGAAAAGAUCAAAAACAUGAUUUAAGAUUUUGUCAAGAUUAUCAAUGAUGAGAAUCAUAUGAAACAUCAAUGUCAUCAUGAAAAAACUAAUUAAAACUUGGAUUUUUUUUGUUGUCAUUUUGUUCUUUAAUUAAGCUCUAGUAAUUUUUUUUGGACAAUCACUUUAUACUAUUUAUAAUUUUUCUUUAGGACACUUCAGCUCACUCGAACUCACGCCCUUUCGCAUAAACAACAAUAUUUGUACCAAUCGAGUUAGACUCAAUUAUUAUUUUUGUUUAUUUUAAUUUCACAAAAUUAAAAUAGGAAGAAGAUAUAUAUAAUAUUGGAACAUAUAAUUACAUUUUUAUUGCAUAACAUUGUUUAAGAAAAGUAAAAAGCAUAAGGCUCCCAUAUCAUAUCUUUUAGCAUUUCAAUAUCAAAAGCAAAGGAUGCUAUCAAACCCUGCAAAUAAAAUAAAAAAAGAUCACAAAGUAAAACACAAAACCCAAUAAAUAAAGCCUUUAAUUCUUUACUCUCAUUUUGCUAAUUAAUUAGCAUAUACGUAUGGUUUCAUGGCUCGAACUCUUCUUCGAACUCCUCUUGAUUCUGAUUGUACUUUCCCAUGUUAUUGUAACGGUUCUCGUUGAACUCGUUCCUCGAACCGACUCCCCUCGAGUUCUCGAACCGGUUCGGGUAGUAGUUGUUCUCAGAACCCACACGAUAGUAGUACUUCCCAUUCUCCAAGUACCUAGUAUCACUCAUACCUUGCUUCUCAACAUUGUUGUACUCAUUGUUACCAUUGUAAUAGUUGUUGUUGUUCUGGUUUUCCUUAGUACUCCAUCCUUUCUCAGUGAACAUGGCCUCAUUGUUACCAUUGUAAUAGUUGUUGCUAUUCUGGUUUUCCUUAGUACUCCACCCUUUCUCAGUGAACAAGGCCUCAUUGUUACCAUUGUAAUAGUUGCCAUUGUAGUUGUUGGUUUCCUUGGUGGUCCAUCCUUUCUCAUUGAACCUGGCUUCACUUUGCUGCUCAGUGUUCCCGUAGGCAUUUGUCUUGCUAUAAAAGUAAGAGUCUUUGUUGUUGGUUUUGGACGCUGGGAUGCUAUUGUAGGGUUCAUCAGGGUGGUAUUUAACAGGUGUGACAUAGGGUUCAUAGGUUUCUUUGGUACUGGUGGUGCUAGGAGGGAGCUGACCAGACUCGUGACCGUAAAGCCCAUAGCCAUUUUGGGUCUCGGGGACAAACCUUGGCUCUUGCUCCUUCUUCCCCAAAGUGGUUUGUUCUUCUUUGUUGGUCACCUCUUUCUCAUUUGUGUUAACACUUGGGAUUUUGCUAAAAAAAUCCCUACCAUGUAUUUCAACGGAGAAGAGGGCUAAAAGGAAGAAGUAAGAGAUGAAUUUUGGUGAAGAAGCCAUUGGCAAAAAAAAAAAAAAAAAAGGGAAAGCAAAGAUUUUGUAGGUAAUGUAAGAGACUACACACUAACGAGGAAUACGUGAUGAUGCAAAGUGCUUAUAUAGAAAGAGUGGAAGAGCAAUGAUUUUGUUUUCACUCUAAAUUGUUAAAAUUUUCUACUCAAUUAACGGAGGGGGUGAAGAUGGUUAUGAUUGUAGGGACUUGGAUGAGAGAGAAAUAUCAAAAGAGGCCCUUUUACUUUGUGGUUUGUUGUUAAUCAACCAUGUUUCAUUUAUUUCAUUCUCAAUAUCAUGAACCCAAUGUUUUUAAAAUCAGAAAGAAUCAAAAGUAAUUAAUAUAAUUUUAUUAAAAUCUCAACUCUUCCUAGAUUCAAGUCACAAAUAAAUUCUGUUUGCAAUGUGUAAAUUAAUUACAAAUAUACCCAAAAAUAUAUAUAAUUUUAUUGUAUAUUGACAUACAUUAUUAUGCAUAAAAAUAUAAAAUCCUUUUUAUGCAUAUAAAAAACAAUCAUGGCAUACAAAAGUUUAUGUUAAUUAUUAUAUUUUAAAAGUGGUUUUUGUAAAAUAAAUCUACUAGGAUUGUUUAUAAUUUCUAUUUCCCCACAGUGGGAAACAAGUGAAAUGUGUAAGCUUUAUUUGUUUUUUGGUCACAUAAGAUUCCCUCCUCACACUCCACUUAAUUCUUUACCAAACCUAUUAAUUAAGAUCACUAUUAUUUGUGUAUCAAACUAUUGAGUGUUUCGUAUCUUCUAAGCAAAACCCAAUUUCAUUUUAUUUUAAUAUUUUAAUAAAACUCAUCAAUUGUGUCUUAGCGUGUUGUCAAACUAGUGGAAGGACGUGGACGGAUUAUGAGUAAUUUUAAACAUCAUAUAUAAAAAAAACAUAUAUGAUCAGAACUUAUAAAUUUAUUAUUUCAUUUUUCUAUCUCUUAAAAAAAUAAUAAAAGGGCAAAAAAAAAAAUUAAAGUUUAAGAGAUUUGAAGGAAAAAUGUGUUGGGUGGCUGGUUGGAUUUAAUUCAAAUUAAGUUUUCGAUUGGUUGAACUUAAAUUUAAAUUAAAUAACUUAAAAAUAUUUAUUUAAAUUUAAUUAUAAAAAAAUAAUAUUGAUAUAAAAUUAUAGAUUUUUAAAUUUUUUCAACAUUAAAAUUGACUACUUAAGUCGGUCGGAUCGAACUCAAAAAAAGAAAGAAUCAAGUCAUUACUCGAUCAAAAUCGAUCCAUUAAUUUUGGGAUAUUAUUUUUAACCUAAACCCUCUUAUAUCUGGUAACUAUAUCAAAUCUUAAAAAGCUUAGAACACAUUAUAAUGGUGGGAUAGGGAGGGGGGGGGAAUAGAGGGCAUCGUGGGCUGUGGAAAUUUAGAGAUGAAAGGGAGCGGCGGAUGAUACUGCGAGGAUUAAGGGGGAAUUGGUGGGACAUUAAACUAUGUCGUUUAGCGGCUGUCUCCAUGUUCUAUUUUUCUACACCGUAGGUUGAUUUUUUUUUUAUAAAAAUUAAUAAUUGAAUUUAGGUAUAAUUAUAUGUGCCUUAUUAUUAUUUAUAGGUUUUGAUUAUAUCUGUUCUUUUUGACACAAUGUCUAGAAUAGGUAUAGCCCCUUCUCAACCAAUAAAUAGGAGGAUAAUAGGCUUCAACGUACUCGAACUCACGUCCUCUUACAUUGGUAACAAUAUCCAUACUAAUCAAAUUAAGAUUCAAUCGACUAUUGUUUUUCAAUUUUUAAAGAGUAGUUAAGAAUUGUAAUUAAUAAUAACUUUUAAUGAUUAAAAAAUAUAUUUUUAUUAAAUAAGAAAAAAUAUAAUAUAAUAUAAAGAAUUAAAACAAAAUUUCACUUUAUUAAUUAAACACGUCUAAUAAUGUAUUUACCCUAAUAAGUUGCUUCAAAUGCAAAUUACUUCCAUAGCUAGCAAGGAAAAAACAAACAAACAUUCUUUAAUUGUAAUUGAAUAUUGGAUACCAAAUCUUUUUAAAUAAUCUUUAGUCAAAUAUAUAAAAUUUUACGAAAAUUAAUAGGAUUUAAAAAAUAAUUGAUUGAGUCUUAGUUUGAUUGGUAUGUACAUUGUUAUCAAUCCAGGAAGAUGUAGACUUAAAUACGCUGAAGUGCAUUGAAGAAUAUAGAGAGAGGCCAUAAGUAAUUCUAGAUAUUGCAUAAAAAAAACAGAUAUAAUCUAAACUUAUUUCUUUUUAUAAUUAUUCUGACUCACGUUUGAGACUCAUGCAACGAAAAUUCAAGCACCAAUGUCUAAAGCAACAUAAAUAUAUAUGAAAAAAAAGAAUGUUGUCAUUUUGUUUUGAUAGCCAAAUAACAUGAAAGUGCGACUUAAAGUCUAAUCUAAGGUUAAUCUUGAUUAACACAAAAUGAAUAUUUUUCACAUUAACAUUUUUUGAUUUAUGGGUUUUUGAUUAUUCUUAGCUGAAAAUAUUGCAUUCCCAUGUAAAAAGUUUUGGACAUAUAAAAAAAGUAUAAAGACUUAAAAUAUAAAUUAACCGACAUAUUAAACGCAAAAUAAUCUUUAAAAUUAUCUAUUUUUGAGAAGAGAUAUAACGUGGUCUUUAAUGUUUAAACUCACGAGUUAGGAAAAAAAUUGUAAAUUCUUACUCUUACUUUUGGUUUCUUGUUGCAUCCCAUUGAUUCAGUGAAGUUUUAGUUGCGUGAUCAGCGGCAGAGGUGCUUUCAGCCAAUGCAAAGCAUGUAUCCAUCAGAGCUGGCAAUCAAACUCCUCCCACCUAUUAACCUAAUUUUGAAAAUCAAUGUUUGCCAAAAAACAGACUAGUAAGACAUGUAUUUUAACAUAAAAGAAAAAGCAAAUUGAGUUUUAACUCGAUUGGUAUUGUUGUCAAUGCAAUAAGGCGUGGGUUUAAUUGCACUGAAGCGUAUUAUCCUCCUAUUUAUGGGUUAAGAGAGGCUAUGGGUAGUUCUAGGCAUUAUGUCAAAAAAAAAAAAAACAGAUAUAAUCAAAACUCAUAAUUAGAUUGUUCAGAAGAGAAGAAGAAAGGCACUAUCGCUAACUUCAAUUUACGUGAAUCAGAUUGAUUUUGGAUUUACUUAAAUUUGAUUUUAAAUCUUUUUGAAUUAUUUUAAGUUUGGAUUAGUUUAGGUAUGAAUUGUUUCGAGUUCAAGUUAUGUUUUUCCAGUUCUGGUCAUCUCAUUUUACUCCUUAAUAUCAUUUUAAAUUUGAUAUUUCGGUUUUAGAUGGAGCAAAUUCAAGUUUUUAACAUUUUAUAAUCAAAUUAUAUGAGAUCGAAUUUGAAUUCAAAUUAGUUGAAAAUACCCCAAAGUGUAGUAAAACACAAGCUACAUGAAACAGGAUGAAUAAAGUCAAAGCAAUUGGUCCCUAAAAAUGAGGUAAAAGUCUAAGGUAGCUGCCUGCAAAAUUCAACUAAACUGAAUUCACAAAAGUAGAGUUUCUGUUAAUGUGGUUGGGGUUUGGUAGGUUUACAUUUCAAGGAAAUUUGAUGGGUAAAGUAGUUGUACAUCAAAUAAAUUCAAAGUUAUUAGUUGGGUUCAGUAAUUCCCUACCAACAUUUAAAAUAAGAGUUGGUUUUGUAGUAAUAAAUAAGUGGGUGAUGGACAUAUCAAUUGAUUGGUUAUAUCAUUUUUAGUAGGAUCAAUUUCGGUUAGUUAGAUUAUUUUAAAUUCAAGUUGUUUCGGGCUUUCAUCAUUCAGAUUGAGAUUUGUUUUUUUAGUAUUAUUCAUGUUCGUUUUAGGGUCCAUGUUCGGGAUUUGUGGCUGUUCCUCUCAAUAAUAUUGUUUUCAAGCUUCAAAUUUAGGUUCUCCGUUUGAGAGUGCAAUGCACCUUACCAUUACAUCCAAUCACUUGUUGAUUGUUUUGUCAUUUUAAAUGGAUCGUUUUAAAUUAUUUAUUUAAAUUAUUUUAAGCUCAAAUUAUUUUAGAUAUAAUUCAUUUCGAUUUUAAAUUUUUUGAAUUAAUUUAAUUUUGAAUUAUUUUAAAUUUAAAUUAAUUUUAUUUUUAAAAUAAAUUAAUUCGAAUUCAAAUAGAUGCAUUGGACCUGCUCAUGGCAUUGAUAAGGUGUGGGCUAGGCGAAGGUCAAAAUGCUACAAUGAAAUCCAUGUGGUAAAUAAUGGUCCCAAUGAAAGCACAUCAAGAAUCACAAGGGACCAAAUAAUCAAGAGAAUUUAAGCACUUAUGAUUUUAGUAGUAUUAUGGAUGGUCUUAUAUUAAGAGUUAAAAAUGAAUAAAUUAAUCUUUAUACUUAAAUUAAAGAGUAAGUAGAUACUUCCAACAACUUUCGUCCAUUUUUAUUGUUGAAAACCAGCAUGAUUGAUAGAAUAAUCGAACAGUUACACUUGAUAUGUCAUGUGUAUCUCAUUUUAACAUAUAGGGACUAGUUUUUAAUAGUAGAAAUGAAUAAAAUUUUUAACAAAAUGAUCAAUUUACCCUUUAAUCUAAUGUAUAAGAAAUAAUUUACCUAUUUUUUAAUAGAACGAGCAAAAUACAUUUCGACUCUCAAUGACUAAUUCAAUUAAUAAACAUCCCUUUACCCCACCAUUUCCCUUGCCAUCAAUCCAAUUUUAUAUCUUUCAAAUUUCAAAUUUGAUUUUAUUUAAAAUUUUAAUAUUCAAACUCGAUAAAGAAAAUCUCCAACUCGUAUCUAAUCCGCCCUGCUCCACCCUGAUAUAAUAAACAAAUUCUUUUAUAAAAACUUAUAGAAGUUUUUAAAAAUCUAAUUAAAAAAUAAAAACAGUUAUAAAAUUAAAAAAAAUAUUUGGAUAAAUUAUUUGAGAAAAGACAUCUUAUUAUAGGUUCUGAUUAUAUCUAUUAUUUUUGGCACAAUACCUCGAACUAUUCAUAACCCUAACCCAUAAAAUCUGCUUUUACAAGGUAUGAUUUGAAUUUUUUGGGUGAUUGAUAGUUGGGGGCAGUUGGACCUCCUGGAAAUCUCUGAGACCCUUUUUUGAGUAAAAAGAGAGACUUCCCACUUGGACUAAAGAAGGGGGACUUCUGCCGAGUGUCUCAAAAUUUUUAAUUUUUACAAACUUAUAUCAAUACCAACAUUUCUACCAAAAAUCAUUAAAAAAAUUGGUAAAAGUUAGAUAUAUGUGUAUGCUUCGAGCACAUGGGAGAAUUUACCUGAAGAAGGGAGAAGGCAAGUUGUCCAAAAUAAAGGUUAAAAGAACAAAAAGGAUAACGGUAACAAUCAUGAGAAUAUGCAUGCUGAAAUGAUUUCAUCUUCUUUAUCCUACCUAAAUAUUUGUGCAUAAUUCCGUAUGAAUCAUUAUUACUUUGCAGUAAAGCUCUAAUUGUGGUGCUAAAAGCAUAAAAAGUAAAAUCAAAAUGUAGCAGCUAGCAAGCCUGAUGGUAACUAUUUCAAUUUCCGAGCGUGAAAAACUCAGGCUGCAAAUUUCAAAAGUACAUAUCAUAUUGUAUUAAUCUGGACACUGGAAUAAACUCGUGUUGCUGGUUACCGCUGAUGUGAUGAUUAUACGCCGAUUGACCCGGUGCUGUGGUGUGUGCGUGUCCCAACUCAUCUUUCACCUUUUAGCUGUGCGGAAUCAGAUUCUAUAUUCUAGAUGACAGAAGAGAAUAUAAACUGCAAUGGAAGAGAUUUCUUGACCUAGCUGAACUGUGAUGACAGCACCAUCCAAGCACCCAGUACAGGGAAGGUAAUCAAUGCGGAAGCCUGAAAUACAACCAAAAUGAAUUAUACCAGUAAUUCAAGUAAAAUUUCAGGAACAGAAGAAGGCAGUAGAUACACGAGAACAUACCAGAAAGAAUACCAAUUCAUCAUUGACAAAAGCUGCAGUAAAUUCAUUUCUUCGCAUUUCUUGUUUGAUGAAACCUUGCAACUGUCAACAAACGGGUAAGAAACAAGAUAUUUGUUUAUUUCAUAGGCAAAGGUUUCCAGUGAAGGGAUACAUAUGUAUCUUUGUUCUUAGGCACUAUUGAUGCACAUUAACUAGUAAACUGGAACUUGUUUAUAUUAUUUCCCCUUAAACCAUUAACAUUAUUGCAACAAGCACAAGGUAGACAAUGAUGAAAUACAAAUUCCUGGUAAAUCUAAAUCCUUAAUUCGUAUAUCAAAUCAAAUUCUGCACUUCGGAGGAAAAAUGAAUUGUUAUCACCUAAGGACCAAAAAGUAUUAGAAUGCAGAAUUCAUGUUUGCAAAUGUUGCACAGAGAUGAUUGACAGAGGAUUCAAGUUGGAAGUGCAAGAUAAUUCUUGACUCUGUCUAACAAAUUAAUCUCACUGUGUUGAAAAAUAAUGCCCGCAUAAAGCUGAAACCAUUCCAGGCGACAUUCGCAUGGGACUCUAAGAUAGAGCCAAAGAAGGUUCACAAUCUAAGUCAUCAAGACACUAAUCGUACUCUCUAUAAUUCAGGGGAAAAGAAUCUUUUUAGCUGAUAGAACUAUGAUUCUAUGAUUACUGACAAUCUUGUUUACAAAACUGAGCAACCUAGUUGGAAGAGGCCAAAGGUUUCCAGAUUCAUGGUGAUUAAGCAUAAAACUGAUUUAGUAGAAAGAGAUCAUGCCUAGGAGUUUACACAGAGCCAAAGGAAACGGUCAACUUAUCCAUUGAGCAUUUUCUAUUGUUGGAAACUUUCACAAAGUAUACUUUUAUGUAGUUUUGACAUUGAAGAUCUCCAAGAGUAACCUGAUUCGUUUUGAGGUACAUUAAUCCUAGAAAAUCACAUUGCAAUGCUAAACAUACCUGAUGGUGAUACUUUUUAAUUGCUGAGUAAAAUCUUCUCAAUUGUUGCAGAGCUUGAGACAUGUAGUACUUAAUGGUAGAUCCUUUUCCGAAUGAAUAAUAUUCCAAUGCACCGAGCAUCUUUGGAAGAUGUCUUUCAGAAAGGUCAUUAAAGAACUAUAUUUGCAGAAAAGAUUUGAUUUGAUUUGAUUUGAUUAAGACUUGAAUGAAAGAUAAGCAUUUGGCAAAAUAUCAUUACUUUUACAAAAAAUUCAAAUGGACUGAGACAGAUGUAAAAAUAAUAAUAAUAAAAGGUCUGAAAGACUAUGUCAGCUUAUUAUAUUACCUUCAAGAAUGAGCAUCUCAUGUACCUUUGCCUUUGAUCUUGCAAUGCUCUCCUCUGUAUGACAAAAAGCAAUUAUGCUAAUUAACAGAUUGAUUAUAAUGGCAGAAUGUUUACUUUUUUCUUUUAAACUUCCUUAUGAAUUGACGAAUAACUGAUAUUAAUAAGGUCCAUCGAAGGCAAUACUUGUGCAAGUUGAAGCGCCUGCUCAAGAUGUUGAAUUUGAAUCCAUUGUUCUGUAACAACUUCUGCCAUCUGAAAACAAGGGAAUGAAACUUUAAGAGAGAAAAGUACAACUAUUUCAACAUCAGCAAUAGAGAAAACAAAAUCAAAACGGAAUAAUUUUUAUCAAGUUUUCGACACAACACAAUCAAGGAAAGGCCAAAUUAACCAAGAUUGAGUUCUGAGAACAAUGGUCAUUUCGAUUAACAAAAAAAAAAAAAGAAUAUCCGGGUGAAAAAACUUCCUUUAUUCUUUUUCUUUUCAUGGUUUAACAUCUUAGCAGCAACCAGAAACUGAAGUCUGAAUGAACCCCCUUCCCCAAAAACGAUACAUAAAUCUAGAAAUUAGAACAACAAUAAGAUGGUCUUUAAAGCAUUUUUGCUGUUCUUGAUGAAAAUUCUUUUAAGUUGAUAAAGGUCAUAAUAAUACACAGAAAUGCUUAGUCAUUCAACAUUCACUAGCAGAGUCUCUACACAGAAAUGAAAUUAAUGCAUGCACAAUGCUGACCUUUUCAACUUUUAAAUUAACAGCUUCCACCCUAUCCUCAGUGUCCUGUGCUUCCGAUUCCAUAACAUGAAGUUCAAAGUUGUUCUUUCUCGAAGCAUCCCAAAGCAAACGUACCUAGGAGAACGAGGCCUACUACUCAAGUCAGAUGAAUAUUGCAAAUAAAGCAAGCAUUACAGGCAAGGAAUCCAAUAGUAGAAAAAAAUGGAAUUAGGGAUUAUAUUUAUAUUAAACCAUUUAAACGAACCUCCUCUUCUAGAGCCUUAAGCUUUUCAUCAGCAAGUAAUGAAUCAUCCUGCAAUUAACAUAAUAUAGAAAUUACAAUUCAUAGCCGAAUAAACCCUAAUUUAGUACACUGAACUCUUCAAACUACGCUUCUUUAGGGAAAGACAUUCAAUAACUGAAAAUAAUUGAAAACAUAAUAAUAAAAAAGCAAAGCUUCUUGGCUAAGAAUUGAACCUUAAGAGUGGAUAUAACAGACUGCAGAUAAGUGAUCUUGUUUUCCAUGCCUUCGAGAAGCUUCUCGCGUUCCUUGAGAAGAAGGGUUUUAGCAUCAAUGCUUUGAAUUGUUUCUUCGAGAACAGAUUCUACAAUCAUAUUUACAAAGCAUCAAAGAAUUGAAGAUUACGAUUAGUAAUUUGUUUCUAAUGAAGCGUUUAUCGUUAAAAAGAAUUUGAGAGGGAAAAUUACCCAAACGAGAGAGCUUUAGCUUGGCGUCAUCCAAUUCACGGAUCAAGAGGUUGUGGUCGUUGUUAUUUAGUUGAUCUUGCGAUGUGAGAGAGAUGAAGAAGACGAAGAAGAAGAAACCAGUGAAAAUGGCGGGAAAGAGAGGAGCCGCCAUUGCUGCUUCUUGAAGUUGCUAAUACGAUCUUUUCUUAAAGAAGCUUUUUGUUGCUAAGAGAAAGAUGGAGUAAUGGUGGACUUUGGAAGGACAGAUCUGCUUUCCCAUAACUAACCAUUGUUUUUAAAGAAAUUGUUUAUUUGAUAUUGUACUUUUCAAAGGAUAAAAUAUUUAUUUUAGACAUUAUUUACUAAAUUUUAUAAAACUAAAGAAAAAAAAAAGUUAUAAGAGUCAAAAUUCAACUUUCAAAGCUCAAGUUACUAUUAAUAUCACGGGACUAAAACUUCUGACAAGUCGAAUCGAUUUAGUCAUUUUUAACGAAAAUAAAUCGACGAUCAAGAUUAGAGCUUCUCUACCAUUGAAAGUUCUAUAGGAUUUAAUCUGUAUAUAAUUUUAUCACUUUAAGAUUUACGCUAUUUAACCUAGUAACUCUAAUUUUAUAGAAAUGUUUCACUGAGCCAUAAAGGCUUCAAGUAUACGAGUUCCUUCAUGGGUUCCACGAAUCGGGACAGUUCAUAUGGGUCAAAUGUGAGUUGACUUCUAUGCGGCAUUUUGUGCACAAUAAUCACAUGCUUUAGUCUGUGACCCGUGACACUAGUCUAGAGAAUAAAAUAAAAAAUUAGAUUUAGACUAAUUUACCUGUGUACCUAUUGAAUCUCAUGCCUAGGCUUUUGCUCUACUCGAAUCUAACGUUUUGUUGCUUGGCUUUUCCUUUCUUUAAAGUGAUCAAAUUGUUUACACAUUUUGUGCUUCUUUGGUGGAACUACGAGGAGAGAUUAUAAAAGUUCCCUUUCUUCAGAAAGCAUCGAUGCUCUUGCAAGGUACAGAGCAUAAGCAUUCUUCUGGAGUCCCUUUGAAGCUUGGAUGGGGUGCUCGUUGCGCAUUUGAGCUAUCUUCCAUUAAUGGGAUAAGUUUGUUUGGUGAGCUUUUAUGCUUAAGCUUGUGUUUUGUUAGGCUGAAUUUGAGCCCAGAUUAUUGGAUAUCAACAAUAGUUCUCAGGUUUCAAAAUACCUUCCGAAAGAUCAGCAGUAACUGCUGCAAUAGGACUUGGCUCCACGGUGUGCUUCCUCUAGACUUUGACUAUCACUUCAGGACUGCACCCUAGGUCCGCCAGCAAAAUAAGCACAUACUUUUAUUUCAGCUGUUGUUGUUGCUAAUGAUGCGUGUUACAAGGUUUUUUGUUAUCAAAUUAUUGAUUAAUUAAUAAAAAAUGUUGUUAAUAUCACAGCUUGGACAGUUCUAAAUCAAGAAUAUGUAGCCUUAGAAGCAAGUUCUCUGCAUGAUGAAAUCACAAAUACUAUUCACAUGAUGUCUUUUUUUUUGGGCACGUAUUCUGUUUCCGGGCCUAAACAGAAACCAAAAAUGAAAAAAUAAAAAAACAAUAACAACAAGACUCAUUAACAACAGCCCAAGAUCCAAUUACAAAAUUACUGGCCCAAUACACAAACCCUAAAGCCCACAAUAUUAAUUUUUUUCAGAAAACUAAAACAAAACCCCAGCCCCUUCAUGCCGCGCCCCAUGUCGGCAUGCCCACCCCCGAGGUUUGCUCCCCUAACGCACCUCUUGCACCAAAAUGGCAAGACUUGAGUCUCGUUAUCGCUGUUGACUUCGCCACCUGCAAAAAAAGAUAAAGAAAAAAGACAGAGACCAAACAGUGCAAGAACAAACGCAUAACAGUAAAAUAUAAUAUGUAAAUCGACUUUAAAAGCCCCAACAAUCAAUGUAAUUUUUUUACGGAGAAAGCAAUAAAAAAAAGCAAAGAAAAAUCAAAUACAAAAAAAGCAAAGAGUUAACAAAAGUAGUUUUUUUUUAAAUCUCGUCUAAUAAAAAAGUAGUUUUUUUUUAAAUCUCGUCUAAUAAAAAAUAUAAAAGAGUAAAAAGGCUCGAUUUUUACCUUCGGUGCUUUGUCUUCGACCGUUGUAGGAAUCCAUCGUCGUAGGGGCUAUCUCUUUUUUUCUUUUUUCUUUUUUUAAAAAAAAACCCCAAGAAACUGAAAGGUUUCAUCUUUUAUUUUUAUUUUUGAAUUUUGGAUCAUUUUUUGGGAAUUUUGACUCCGGAUCCAUGCUCUACAAAAAAAAAGGACUCGAAAGGGAGUCUUUGUAACAGCCCAAUUUUCAAUAGUGUCAGAAUAGUGAUUU